UUUUUUUUUUUUUUUUUUUUCCGGAAACGUUAGAAAUAGACGGAAAUUACUAUAGUAGCUUUUGUCAACGGAAAAUAAUCCAAUAUCCGGUGCAGCUGAAGCCCACCGACUUCGAUGCUCCCUCAGUCUCCACCUCAUCCCGUCAUCAUCCUCUUCAACGUUGAACGAGUUUAAAAAAUUCAACAGCUCCACAGCAGGACAAACAUUCACAGAUAAAUAUAAAACAGGACAGAAGUCUCAAAAAGAAAAGAAUUUUCUAGAGGGAGAGAGAGAGAGAGUGUGUGUUUGAAGUCAGCUCCAGAGAAAACUGUAAUUGAUGCCUACAGUUUUCUGCAUAUAUUUAAAGCUUCCGAAAAAACAUUUUGCUAUGCUGCAUAAAAUUUUCGAUAUGUUUUCGUUUCGGUCGUAAGGAAGUGAAGACUUGAGGGUUGUGAGAGUUUUUGCGAGGCGGAAUGGCCGCGCAGGGAGGAGAGGGAGGUGGAGGUGGAGUGGCGGUGGUGUUGUGUGGCGGAGCGGUUAGCAAUGCGUUGGACUCGCUGUCUCCAGCUCCGGCGCCCGAUGAUGGAGGAACUGUGGAGGAAAAUUCUGAGCAGAAUUCGAAUUCACCGAUCCUGUUUUUUCUAUUUUUUCAUAAGGCAAUUAGGUUGGAGCUGGACUGUCUGCACCGCUCGGCGUUGGCGUUUGCGACUGGGAAAUUGGUUGAUAUACAGUCGCUGGUGGAGCGGUACCAUUUUCUUAGGUCAAUUUAUAAGCAUCACUCGAAUGCUGAAGAUGAGGUAUGUAGCUUAAUUUCAUUUGCCUCUUUUUUUGGCUCUCUUUUAGCUGCUAAAUUCAUAAAGACUACUGCUUUGAAUUCAUUUCUUACUUCUGAAUUGGUUGUCUAGCGACGGAGUUUUGUUUAUACGUGGAAGUACAAGAGCAACGAUUAUAUGCAUGGGUGGAAGUAUCCAAGUUUUUUUCAUCGGAUUUUGUGUGUGGUUUUCGAAAUUUGUAUAUAAAUGUUAGUUCUGUAAGAUACUGAUACCCGUGCAUGUGUUUAUGGCUGGGUCACCUGAUUAGAAGAUUUGUCAGUAUACGGAAUUUGUUGAAUAUAUAUUUCAGAGUGGUAUUUCCCAUUUCAGUCGGGUGCGUGUUCAAUAUGUAUGUGAUCACCUGGAUUUGCAGCUAAAGUUUGUCUCUUUAGAUGAGAUUUUGUGAAGUUUUCUGAAUGUGGUUAUUGAAAAUUGUGUUUGAACGUCGAUAAUAUAGAUACCUAAAUGCGUGCUGUAUGCAUCUACGGAUCAUGUGAUCAGAAUAUUUUGCCAUUGUACAUUUUAGUCAUGGACAUGUAGAUUUACAUUUGGUAUUGGAGUUUCCUCUUUGGUUUUGUUUAGUUUGUUUGCAGAAACUCGUAUUCGCACUUGAAAUUUUCAUGCAACAUCAUUUUAUUUCAAGCUAAAUGCAUUUAAUGGAGUGGACAUUGUUGUUUGCAGAUAAAUGAUGUUGUUUGACAUUUUUGGGUUUCAGUUUUAAAUUGUGUUUUGCUAGUUCAGCGUAAAUUAUUGAUUGUUUUAAUUUUAUGUGGUUUUGGGAAAUAAAGGCAUUAUGGAUCGGGCAGCAAAAUAUCGAUUGCGAAAGGAACAUUUUGUGUGUUGUAAAUUAUUCAAGUUUUAUGAUUGCCUGUGUUUUAGCUGUUAAAAUGUUUUCCUGGAGCUGCAUUUACUAUGUCGGUCUAGUGAUAUGUCGGACACUUGCAAUAAAUGAGAAAAAAGUAUAGCCACAAGAGACACCAACAUCAGUAUCUGAUUUAUCUUCUUAUUCUUCUUCUUCUUUUUUUCUGUGUUUAUUGUGAUUCUAGUAUUUGGAAGCCAAUGUAAAAUGGUUAAAUCUAAUAUCUUUUUCAGCAAUAUUAAUGGAAAUACUAAUGUUGAAAGUUUGUUGAUUUCUCUCCAAAGCAUCUCAAUUAAUGGAGAUAGCGAUUAACAUUUAAAGGAAAGCUAUUGAUAUCUUGAAGGCUGUAAAAUUGCAGUUGCUAGGGAUUCACUUUGAAGGAGAGGAAAAACAUCAUUUUCCUUGCUCUCCCCUUUCCUUAAUCUCUCUUCCUUGUACGGUAGAUACCAAGAUGGUCUCACAAUUAUGGUCCCACGUGUUGAGACUUGAGAGGCUGUGGAGCUUCUCCAUUUAUUUGUUAGCAUUUAGACCCAGAUGUACAUUUACUUUGGAGCAUGAGUACUACCUCUCCUUUUGUUUGAGAUAAACCAUUCAAUGAUGAUGAAUGGAGAUUCUUCUUGGAGUUUAGUGUGAAGUAGGACAUAAAGGUAUAUUGUAGCAGCUACACAUUGCAUGACUUUACUCGAGUGACUAGAAGAAAGUGCAGGUGCCAAAAAGUGUUUUUGUGUUGCUGAGUCUUCGGCAUCUGAUUCUGCAAAAGGUGUUUGUUUCCCUUUAGCCUUUGGAAUUUAUUUUGAAGGAGCUAGUAGCGUGUUAGGGAUAUGAUUAUACCAUAGUUUUCCUCUUCUGACGGGCUCUAAUCUAGUAAUGAGGAUCCACAUUGAAGUAGUUUCGAUCUCUUUUUGACUGACAAGAGAUAAGUAACGUCCAGCAUAUUGACACAGUCAAUAUCUCUCUUGAAGGAUAAGGCACAUGCCCUAUUACCUGCUCUGGUCACUUGAUUGUUCCUGAUUACUGUAAUGAUUGCGUAGCAAAACAAGUGUCAUUGAGAUUUAUUUUUUCUUGUUUUGAAGAAGGCAAAAGGAGUUCAGCUAAUACCCGGAAUGGUAAUAUCAAUGAACUUUGUGUUGAAACCUAGAGGUGCGUAAUGUGGAACUUUUAAAAUGUCUGUAGUUAAUGGAGGAUGUAGGUCUUGAAGGAAGAGAUUGAUUCUGGUUGGGUGGGCAGCAAACAUUUCUGGAACCACUGAAUGUUGUAAGCUAUAAAAUAACAUGAGCUUCUGAAUUUUCAGAAUUCUGUGUGGUAAUAGGUCUUUCAGUAGGAGAUACAUGGAAGAUUGUUGCUCUCAUAACAUUCGGUUUGGAUAGAAGUCUCUCCUUAUCAUAAAUCUGAUUAUUCACUUAUCUGCAUCUUUAUUUUAUCUUGUAUUGCUUAUCUAAUGUACUUAGUUUCAAAUUAUUUAGGACCCUCCAUAAUUUGAAGCUGAGGUUCUACCUUGUUUAGUUUCUUGACCUUGCCUUGCCCCUUCACUUAGUUUUAUGUUAUAUAUCCAGGAUACUGAUUAUGCACUUGGAAAGGGCGAAAAUGCAAAGAUUUUUUUCUUUGAAAAUGCAAGAUUGUAUCUCAAAAGGGUGAAACACAUUUACACAUGGUGGCCAACUUAGGCUACUUAUUCCUACUAUUUUAUUUGUUUUGUGGUUAUAAUUGAAAGAAUCACCUACAUUCAUUUAAUUGGCAAGAAGACUAUAGUACCCUCUGUAGAUGCCCUAUGUACACAAGCACAAAGUGAGAGCUUCCUUUUGGUAUUAUUCUGCCUGCAUUAAGGAAUCAAGCAUUCCAGUAUAUAAUGUACACAGAGCCUGUUCCUAUAAGAAUCUGACCUUUUAACAUCCAACUUUUGUGUUGACCACUUUCAGUGCAAGUAAAUUUGCUUGAUGUUACAUUUGAGGUUGCCUUUGUUACUGAUAACUAGUUUGAAGCAACAUAAGAAAGGAGCUUGUUCUUGAGCAAUCUCAGUUUUUGUGUUUUCGGAAACUAAUUGCUCAAAAUUUUGUCAUACCAGGUCAUUUUUCCAGCUCUUGAUAUACGUGUGAAGAAUGUAGCCCCAACAUACUCCCUGGAGCACAAAGGUGAAAGUGACCUUUUUGAUCACUUGUUUGAGCUGCUAAAUCCUAACAAACAGAAAAAUGAGAAUUUUGCAAGGGAGUUAGCAUCUUGCAGUGGAGCACUCCAAACAUCAAUUGGCCAGCAUAUGUCCAAGGAAGAGGAACAGGUAUUCAACAGCUAUUUCGAUGCUUUUCUUGAUCAGAAUGUUCUGGAGAUCUUUUGCAAAAAAAAAAAAAAAACACUUCUCAGAUUUUGUUGCUUGUUUGAAUUUCUCAGGAGUGUAUAACAUUUUCUUAAAUUGUCAGUUUAGAUAUCCUAAUGUUUUCAUUGGGUUUUUCAAAUCAGAAGGACAUGUAAUAGCUAUAUACCAGCUCCUUCUGGUUUUGUCAUUUAUCUAACUUGCAUAUUCUUUACCGCCAGCUUAACAUAAUUGGUAGCUUCUGGAUAAUUUGUUAUUCCUUUUGAUUAUUACUUUCCUUAUAUGCUUAAAGUCUGUGAUGCUCAUAUUUUCUUGCUUUUUCCUUUCUUCAACUGGAAUCUUGUUUUUGGUGCUUUGAACUCUAUAAGCAAACUCUAGUAACUAAUACGUAUAGUUGUCAAUAAUUUUCUUUGGAUAACUUAAUUCUUCUGCCUGUUGAGGAACUUUUUUUUUUGUCCAGAGAGCAGAAUACUUACUUUGUGAGUUUUUCUGGCAUCCAUAUAGCUAUGGAGAAUCUCUUAAUGAUCCGAAGCCUUAUAUCCUUUUGAGAAUUUUCACCAGUAAAGCCUCCAAAUUGAAUUCCUUAAGAACAAGCUGCGUGGUUCAGCAAUUUCUGAAACUUUUUCCCGCGAGAUGGGAAAGUGCAAGAGUUAAUUUAUUCAUGUCCGCCAUAAAUGUGCUUCAUAUGCCGUGGGAUGGCUGCCUAAUCACUUGUAUGUAAAACAUCAUGUGCUUUACAGAGGACCAUGACAUCUGUCAUUACCCAAGAAGUUGCAAUGCUGUAUAUUUAACUCUUUUUUACUCAACAUCAAUCUGAUUACGUCUUUGGAUGGUAAUGGGGUCAAAUCUUAUUUCAUUUUGUGUCAAUCUGUAAAUUGCCAUUGGUCAGAAAAUUAGUGGAAUUUUGGGUUUAAAAGCUCAGACUGUCAUGCUUCCAUAAUCGCAGAUGCAAAUGGACCAUCUCUGGGUGAUGGAAAAUUGUCAAUUUUAUUCAAUUGUGUUCCUUUUGCUUAUGUGGAGUACUGUUCCGACUUGAGCUUGUCAUUUGGUGAUUUAUAACUGGAGAUUUGUUUUCUGUUAUUUGAAUUAUUCAUCACCUUGCAUCUGGCAUUUUUGAUUGGUUGUUGAAUUUUGAAUUUCAAGAACACCAGCUUUUGGGCUUGAUAUGUUGGGGCUUGACUUAGAGUAUUAUUCCAUACAGGUCUUUCCUCUGCUCAUAGAAAAGUUCUCAGUUGAAGAGCAGGCAUCCCUGGUUUGGCAGUUUUUGUGUAGCAUUCCAGUAGAUAAGCUGAAAGAAUUCCUUCCCUGGCUUUCCUUUUCUAUUUCACCUGAUGAGAAUGAGGAGAUGCAGAAGUGCUUGUGUAGGAUUAUUCCAAGGGAAAUACUCCUUCAACAGGUAGUCUCGUGUUCGAUAAGAGACAUAUGGUUAUAUUUGUUAAUUAAAUUCUGUGAACUCUCUCUUUCUCUUUCUCUCUCUCAAGUUUCCGUUGCCUUUAUGCUAGCAACUCUCUGGCUGAUGACUAAUCUUUGGUUGAAGGUAAUUUUCUCAUGGAUAAAACAUAGAGAACCCACCACUACUGUUACAAGCAAUAGUGUCAGCCCUCAGAUCCAACGCUCCUUAUAUUCUUGUGCUAGCAAAGCGAGUCACGAACAUUCGGGGGGAAAAAAGUGUGUAUGUAUACCUUCAAGGACUGGCAAAAGAAAACAUACAGUUGCUGUGAAUGAUGCAUCUGAUUUGGAUGGUGAUCAUCCGAUAAAUGAAAUAUUGCAUUGGCAUAAUGCUAUUAAACAAGAGCUAGAAGACAUUGCAGAUGAGGCUAGGAAAAUUGAGCUCUGUGGAGAUUUUUCUGAUCUGACAUCAUUCUAUGAAAGACUACAGUUUAUUGCUGAGGUUUGCAUCUUUCACAGGUAUUAAAGUUGUGCAUGAUUGCUUUUUCUUCUCAAUUUUACUGCAAAUAAGAUGCUGUCAGAUUAUGUUUGCACUCAUGAUGUCGAGUUCCAUAUGGAACAUAUCUUUUGUCGAUAACUCUUUAAGUUCCCAAAGAAAUUUCUGUCAUUAAAAUCAGAUUGCAUUUCUGUUUCUGACUUAGUAGUAAGGUUUUGUGUUAUAAAUUGCAGUGUUGCUGAGGACAAAGUAAUAUUCCCUGCUGUAGAUGGAGGAGUCUCCUUUUUCGAGGAGCAUGCUGAGGAAGAAAGCCAAUUUAAUGAGCUACGGUGCUUGAUUGAAAAUAUUCAGAAUUCAGGUGCCAAUUCAGCUUCAGCUGCUGACUUUUUCACCAAGCUAUGUUCCCAAGCUGAUUUAAUAAUUGAAACCAUCAAGAGACACUUCCAAAAUGAGGAAACAGAGGUACGCUCAUUCUUAGCAGUAGUCGGAUUUGCAAUGUAUGCUUUGAUAACAAGGUCAUGGAGCAGCAAAAUAAACUUGCAUAUGUGGAUGAAAAUCACCAGAGUUCGACUUGCAAAAAAUACGUUAGAUGUACUUUAUAUGUGAGGACUCAUGAUCUGAUCUAUUUGUGAAUUACAACUAACAUUCAAUACUUCAAGACUAAUUAGUAGGACAAAUUCAGAUUAUGUAGUUGUGAAUGGCUUUUAACUUCUGUCACUGAAUAUUUCCUUCAAGACUUGAAUGCUCAUUGAUUAUGCUUUUGGAAAAUAUUUAGGUUCUUCCUCUUGCUCGAAUGCAUUUUUCCUUCAAAAGACAGAGGGAUCUUUUGUACCAGAGCCUGAGUUUGAUGCCAUUAAAGUUGAUUGAGCGUGUCUUGCCAUGGUUGGUAGGAUAUUUGACUGAGGAUGAAGCAAGGAAUUUCCUGAAGAAUAUGCAAUUGGCAGGUAAUGCAUUUAUGUAUGAUUAAUUGUCUGGGUUUUAAUCCAAAAAGUUAUAGUCAUUUCUCUUCUAACUUGCAUGUAUUUGAUUGCACAGCACCACCACCUGAUGCUGCUUUGGUUACUCUAUACUCUGGUUGGGCAUGUAAAGGUCAACAUAAAGGCAUAUGCUUGUCCUCUAAUGUCACUGGCUGCUUGGUGAGACGAUAUACUAACCUUGAUAUAGAAGAGAACUACAUCCGAGGAUCCUGUCCAUGCACAAAUGUUUUUCAGAGUGAACGACCAGUAAAAAGAAAUCUCCCAAUUCCUAGUACAGAGGAGACUUUGUGUGGAAAUUCAGUAGAUGAAAACUCUCUUCAUUCAGCUGGUAAUGAACAGUCCUGUUGUGUUCCAGGGUUGGGAGUUAAUGGUAAUAAUUUGCGACUGAACACUAUUUCUACCCCAAAGUCUUUUUGUCCGCUGUCCUUCAGUUCUUCUGCACCUUCUCUUAACUCCAGCCUUUUUAUCUGGGAGACUGAUAAUAGCUCUCCUGGUGUUGACCGCAUCGUGCAUCCAAUUGAUACUAUAUUUAAGUUUCAUAAAGCAAUACUGAAAGAUUUGGAGUAUUUAGAUGUUGAAUCUGGUAAGCUUAGUUACUGUGACGUGACUACCCUUCAGCAGUUCGUUGGAAGGUUCCAACUACUUUGGGGUUUAUAUAGAGCACAUAGUAAUGCCGAGGAUGAAAUAGUGUUCCCAGCACUUGAAUCUAAAGAGGCCCUCCAUAAUGUAAGUCACUCCUAUACAUUAGACCAUAAGCAGGAGGAAGAAUUAUUUGAAGACAUAUCUUGCGUGCUGUGUGACCUAUCAGAACUUCAUGAAGGCAUGAAUAGAAAUAGUAAGAUUGAGGAUCUUAACCUGACUUCCUUAGAUAAUUCUGUCUACGGUGAGGAUUGCUGGAGAAAAUACACUGAGCUGGCAACAAAACUUCAAGGCAUGUGCAAAUCAAUCAGAGUCAGCCUGCAUCAGCAUAUAUAUCGGGAAGAACUUGAGCUCUGGCCUCUGUUUGGCAAACAUUUUUCCGUGGAGGAGCAGGACAAAAUUGUUGGUCGGAUAAUUGGAACCACUGGUGCUGAAGUACUUCAGUCAAUGCUGCCUUGGGUGACUUCUGCUCUAACACAGGAUGAACAAAAUAAUCUGAUGGACACACUGAAGCAGGCUACAAGAAACACAAUGUUCAGUGAAUGGCUUAAUGAUUGCUAUAAAAGAACUCCUGAAUUAUCUGGGCAACCUGACAAAUCAGAUAGCAGCAGUUCUAGUACAGGUUUCAUAUAAUUCUUGCCCUGCGUUCCUGUCCUGUUGAAAACUAUGAUUUUCCAUUAGUUAUUUAUUCUAAGGAUAUAUUCUGUCAGAAUUACAAGUCUAGUUUCAAACAUUCUAUAGGUACUCAGUCUCAGGAAACCUUGGAUCAGGGUGAUCAGAUGUUUAAACCAGGUUGGAAAGAUAUUUUCCGCAUGAAUCAAACUGAACUUGAAUCAGAGAUUAGAAAGGUGCACAGAGACUCCACUCUUGAUCCCAGGAGAAAAGCAUACCUGAUUCAGAAUCUUAUGACUAGGUAUGCUUCAAAACUGUACUCUCAAAUUUUUGGCAAAAUGUGGGUUCUUCUAUUUACUGGUGUCACUGAUUUUUAUCUAUUUGUUUUUAAAUACUUAGAUGUUGAUAAAUUGCUUUAUGGUCUCUGAAAGUAGCAUUUUUCAUUGGUUUUUGUUUGUAGUCGUUGGAUAGCUUCUCAGCAGAAAUCACAAGUAUCAAUGGAUGAAAAUUCAGUCAGUGACGAAACUCUUGGACUUUCACCUUCAUUUCGGGAUACACAUAAACAAGUUUUUGGGUGUGAACACUAUAAGAGAAACUGUAAACUCCGUGCUGCUUGCUGUGGGAAGUUGUUCACAUGUAGAUACUGUCAUGAUGAAGUGAGCGACCACUCCAUGGAAAGGUAAAGAAAAGUUGCAUAAUUAAGGAUCUCUAUACUGCCCUUUAUUUCCAUUAUUCAUUCUCAUUCCACCUUUGCAGGAAAGCAACAGUAGAGAUGAUGUGUAUGGUUUGCCAGAAGAUUCAACCAAUUGGCCCAGUUUGCUCAACACCUUCAUGCAAUGGAUUUUCCAUGGCAAAAUACUAUUGCAGCAUAUGCAAAUUUUUUGAUGAUGAAAGGUAGAUGAAUUUGCCACUUCUUAAAGCAAAAGUUGUUCUUUGCUCUUUUUCUUCCAUAAAAACCAAUAACCGAGAUAAUGGAUAUCCAUGAAUGAAAAUCAUGAUAACAAUAUUUACAAAUCAAUAAGAGAAACACCUCAUUGUAAUCUCGUAGUCACUUUAUUGUAUUUCUUUGUACCACCACCAUAAAACUUGUUUAGUGGUGGAAUUAUUCCUGUUCACCCACAAUUAAAGUUAAACUUACAUGACAGAUAAGUGAUGCAGCAUUGUUUCCAUUGAACAAGUGUGCGAUGAUGCAAAUCAGGAUUGUCAUUUUAGUUUCUACUCGUGUUUUCAUAAUCCAUAAACAGAGUAAGGCACCAUAAGAUGUGUUUUACAACAGGUUUAUCUCAGCAUUGUCUUUGGUUGGUGAACAUUAGAAAUUCAGUAUAUGGUCCGCUGGAAGGAGAAAAAGGAUGGGAUAUGCAAUAUUAACAUUUAAUGAAGCUUAGAACAAUUUAAUCAGAAGUUCUUUGGGUUUCUUGUUUCUCUAUCUCUUCUCCGUCCUGUGUGCUGUGCCCCCGCUUCACUUGCAUGAAUCUUUGUGAGUAUUUUUAUAAAAAGGAGUCUUAUCUUCGAUGGUUUGUUCUUUUAAAAUAUUGAUAGCUAGGAGAAGCUAAGAAAGGCCAGGAUAUACUUUUGAAUUCGUCUUUGUUCUAUUGACUUUUAUGCUUCCUAGCUUUGUUCCCCUAAUUUCGACCAUCUAACAAAACUUUUAUGAUAGAUUGUACUUACAGACUUUAAGCACUGUCAAAUUUGUCACAAUAAGCACUGAAACAAUGAAUCCUGUGAUGCUUAUUAUAGUGGAAUUUUUUGCAGAUAUGAUGGUUUUUGUAUUGAAUGUGGAUUAUAAUGCUUUGUGGUAUUGAUUUUGUAUGUUUAUUGGUCUAUGUCAAGGUUCAAAAUAUGUUUUCUGUUCUCUUUUUUUUUUUUUCGGUUGGGGAUUGAAUUGGCUGUUUUAACAUUUAAAUAAUGACUAUAAUUGUGCACCUGUAGGGAGAGAUAAAGGAAUUAGUAUACUGUAAAACAAAACACACACACACACACUCUCUCUGUUGUUUUACACUAGAGUGUUCUCAGUAGUAUUAGUACUCAUGCCAAUUUGGAAGUUUUCAUGCCUGUUCAGCAUUUUGAUUAAUUUAGAAAUCUUUUGGACUUUCUUACCUAGUGAUUUGUAUGUUGUUUUCAUAACAAAUGCACUCAGUAGUUCUUCUUCUUUUCUUCCCUGUUGCAGGGAUGUUUAUCAUUGUCCAUCUUGCAAUUUAUGCCGUCUUGGGAAGGGUCUUGGAGUUGACGUUUUUCACUGCAUGAAAUGCAAUUGUUGUCUGGCUAUGAAGUUGGAAGAUCACAAGUGCUUGGAGAAGGCUCUGGAGACAAAUUGCCCCAUUUGCUGUGAAUUUUUGUUCACUUCCAGCGCAACAGUUAGAUGUCUACCUUGUGGUCAUUACAUGCAUUCAGCAUGCUUUCAGGUUUUAAGUUUUCUGAAUAUUUAGCAUUCUCUAUUUUUUGUUAUGCUCGGUCUGUUGCUUCUAUUUUACAUAGAUUAAAAUGCCCUCAUACACCACUGAUUGUCUCUCGACUCUCAUUAUGUUUACUUUUUGUCAUAUUCUAGGCAUAUGCUCGCAGUAACUAUAUAUGUCCAAUAUGCAGUAAAUCCAUGGGUGACAUGGCGGUAAGAAAUACUUUUUCCUUCCCUCUUACGUAUAUUUGUUUCUUCUUGGUAUAAAUAACCUUAUAGGUGCCAUACUUGCAAGAAAGCAAAGGCUCAUACGUGUUUUUGCAUUGAUGAUGGAACUAUUUUAGUAUAUAAUGAUUAUUUCCCCUGUUCUUCUGUGCUGUUGGUACCUGGUAAUCUGUCCAAGUUUUUCUUUUUUCAACAUCUUUUUACCAUUUGAAUAGGCUACAAGAUUUUCAGACUUUGUAUUCUUUAAUGAUGUAAAGCAUUCCGCUUGAAUGGUUGGGAGUGGCUGCUUUGUCAUUUUAGACUUUCACAUGACUAACUCAUUUUUAAAGAACUCUAAAGGUGAAUAUGUUGAUGUCUUAUGGUUUAUCUAUAACUGCCUUUUCACCCAGGUAUACUUUGGCAUGCUCGAUGCUUUGCUGGCCAAUGAGGUGCUUCCAGACGAAUAUAGGAGCCAUCAGCAGGUCUGAGCACAUUCUUUUUCAUGCCUUGAGGCCUAUGCUUCUUCAGUGAGAAGCUAUGGGCAGUUUUAGUUAGAUACACAUAGGGAUACAUGCAAACACACAAAAACAUGCACAGACACUCGCAAGCAUGCAAGUGGAGGAAAACAGGCAGGACUUUUUAUCCAAGUCAUUAAUUGGUAGUUGUUAACGAUCCUUCUGUAAUUCAAUUAUAUAGAAACACUUUUUGUUCUAGAUUUAACUUAAUAUCCAUUAAAGGUAGCUUGCAUCUUGCCGCAGAUGUUCUUUGCUAGGUUAUGCCUUUUAAAUUAGUUUUAUUUUUUCCUAAAUUGCUCUCUUGUAAAUGUCGUUUAGGAUAUCCUCUGUAACGAUUGUCAGCGGGAAGGUGCAGCUCAAUUCCAUUGGUUAUAUCACAAGUGUGGAUUCUGUGGAUCAUAUAAUACAAGGGUCAUCAAGGCUGCAUCUGCAAAUUUUGAAUGCUCUACAUCCAAUCAUGAGGUUGAACCCUCUUGAAACGGGUCAGAGAAUCUGAACUUGUAAAUAGCACUGUACAGGAAUUGCAAAAUUUUUGUAACCAUUCCCCCCCUCCCUUUUUCUCUUUUUUGAAGUUUGUAGAGAGAGUAGUUGUCAUAUUAGCUGACAAAUUAUUGGGAAAGUGGACCCCAUCUCGGUUAAUAGAAGACUUUAGAUGGUAAACUGACUGAUUGAUAAAUGUCUCAGCUUUGGCCAUGACUUUUGACGUUUAUAGUUUGCACAGUUUCUGCUUCUUGUGAAUAGGGCUAGGGCUGGUGAUCAUAGUCCAAACCGUGGGGGGAUGUAGGUUGCUGUAAAUUUCCUUCUACGGCUUCUAGUGCAAAGCGCAAAUGAUUAUUAUUAACAACGAAAGCAAGGUGAGGGAACCGAACAGAACCGGAGAUUAAAUUAGUGUUUCAUUAAAUUUUUGAAGUUACAAAUUGAAAAUUCCAUUAGCAUCGAGCCUGUAACGCUUGAUCAACCCCAUUCCACCCCCAACCUCAAAUAAGAUAGUUCUGUGAACCAUGGAUCUAAUUUAACGAAUGGAUUGGCAAAGCGCAGUUGUUGAGGCUGAGGGGACAGGAGAAAGGUUAUUAGUGCAACCGUUUUUUAAUGAUAUGACCCCUUUUGAGUAUGACCGUGGGUCAAUGAAGUAAUAAAAUGUCUUUUGAAUAUAACGGAAUUCAUGAAAAAUUGUUGUAAGUACUAUUUUAUAGAAAAAAAAUAUUAUAGUAUUCAGUUAGUGUGGAUAUGGGACCUGUGUACGUCAGUUACAUUAGUAUUAUACGGCAUACUCUAAAACUUAUUUUAAAAGAAGAGAUUGACGCAAGUUUGUCCCUCACCAGGCAGUCACAUAAAGAGGCUAGCUGGAGGGUAGCAAGGCUGCAAAAGCCUAAAUUUCCUCCAAUGCUUUUUGAAAUGAAAGCUUUCAAGGUGGGGCAGAGCCACCCCGUAGGCCUGAGAAACGGUAACUUACCUUUUACCCCUUGACCCUUGUGUGAUUUUGAUCCUUGACACAUAAUUCAUAUAUGAUUUAAAAAUCUAUAUAUAACUUUCAUGAUUUUGGUUAAAAUGUCUUCAUUAAUUUUUUCGUUAAAAUUAAUGAUCAACGGUAAAAAUUAAAUUGAUAAAUUGACAAAUUCACCCUUUCACUACCUCUUUUUUUUUUUUCCUUUUUGCCCUCUAUCUCUCCCUCUCUUAAAAGAGAAGAGCUGAUUUUGAAAACAUAUACUUUGGUGUACAAAAUUUUAAUUUUCUCCAAAUAUAAAAGUAAGAAAUAUAAAACAAAUAAAUAAGAAACAAAAAAUACCAAAUCUUUUUUUAUUACAAAUAUCAUUAUAGGUUUUUAAAUCAAAUGUUUAAUGAUAUUUUCUGGUUCUUAUUUAUCUAUUUUUUAUUUCAAUUUCUUCUUUUUAUGUUUGGUGGGAAAAAAGAAAUAAUGAAAGGGUAAAUGUGGUCCAUGUUUUAAUGAUGCAUAUGUUCAACUAUGUAAGGAAAAAAGUCCUCCACUAACUUUAUUUUUGUGUAAAUAGUGUAAUUAAAUUGUUAGGAAAUGACUCAUAAGAGACCAAAUUAUCUACGACACCAAAGAAAUAUGCCAAAAUAGUUUUUAAUGAUGCGCAUCUCAAGCAUGCAACAAAUAUUGUUAGAAUUUUCCAACCUUUUGUUACAAGUCCUAUAUUGACUUUAUUUUUUGGAGAUGAGAGACUAAAUUGGAAAGAGAUCCAUGAUGAAUUUUCACAAGGAAAGCUAUCACUUUAUUCAUGACAAAAUUAGAUUUUUUUUUUUUUUUUUGCACUCACAUAUUCAUAACUUGAGGAAGAAUAUCAAUACGACACGUCAAAAAAGUGAUCCCUGUAUCCACAAAAAGAACUCAUUGGUAUCUAUUAACAAAGUAAUUUAUAGGCUUUUAGGUUAGUGACAUGAGAAAUCCAUCUUCUGUUGGUAAAACUCCAAUUCCUUCCUCCCUAUUUUGAGAGAAAAAAAUUACAAUAAAAAUGGGGCCAUUAUCAAAUAUUAGAUACCGAAUAUCUAUCAUAGAUUCAUAGUCAUGUUGUUAUUCAAAACCAUUUUACAGGGAAAUUGCAAUUUAGGUCUAAGAUAUUCAAGGCAAUUACUGCAAUAUGGUCCCAAAUGUUUCAUAAAUAUCAAAUUUUGGUAAAAUUUGAGGGCAAAUUGUUCAACACCCCAAAUAGUAGAAAUCAAAACAAUCAUACUACUAGGAAUUUGCCUCCAAAAAGAACACACAUUUGAUCGUCUAUAUCAGCAAUUGUAUAAUUUGUUAAUUGUCCUCCAUUAGUCACAACAAAAAAGUUGACAAACUAUGUUCUAGUGAAACAUUAGAGGUCAGAACGGCUUACAAUUCAAAAAAUAGGGACUAAAAUUGCAAUUGAAUCUUAUCCAGUAACUUAUCAUAGAAUUUGAUUUCAAGAAUUAACAUAUAAAGUUACCUCAUGUUUAGGGGGGGGGGGGGAACUAAGAAGUUACUUUAUGGUUGUCAAAAGCUUGAAAAAGCAUUUUCAUGGUUUAACAUUAAUUAUAAUUUUAUUAACUUCCAUGAUAGACACAAAAUAACGAAUUAAGACCAAAGUGAAAAAAAAAAAAAAAACAAAUGUUUACGACAUUAGUGUGUUUGUCUCAAGAUGCUUUGAAAACACUCAUUAAUUAAUUGGUGCCUCGAGUAUUAAUAUUAUAAACAUGUACAGGUCCAUUAAACCAAUAUUAAUAUGUAUCAAUUCUCAUAAUCUCCCUAUAGGUGAGCCUCAUCCGCUUCGCAAAAAUAGUUUUAAAAAAUUUUUUUGCUUAUUAACUUUUUGAAUUUAAAAAGUCCAAAAUUAGAUUUUGAAUCACUUAACUAGAUUUUACAUUUAUUGUUAGAAAAGCUCCAUUAAGGAAAUUGUUUUUUUGAUAGAUGUGAUAAUCAAUAGUAUGAAUAUUAAUGAUCGAAAUAUUUAAUGUCAGUACUGUUUGCUCCUUGUAAAGCUAAAAAAGGAAAGUGAAACCCCUAACAAUAAUUUAUCAACAGCUAGUUCUGUAGUUUGGAAAUAAGAAUUUAUCUAGUAUUCGAAAUUAAAUUAAAUUUAAUAAAGCCCAUAUACAAAGAAAAAACAAAAAGAAAUGAUAGCAGUCCACAUCAACCAAAAAUAUUGUUUUUUCCCUAAUUUAGCCUAUUAAAUUGCCAUCAAUAACUUCCAUAUGCAUUAUUAUGGCUGGCCAAGCAAAGGCGGAAGGAAAAUUAAACUCCAAGAGCAAAGAUGUGUCAAAAUUAUUACAAUAUCUGACCAAAUUAGGAUGAUUGCAGUUGAAUCAUCUGCCCUCUUUUCCCUUCCCCAUAAAAGUAAACCACUUGCUCACAAUUGGAUCCCCUAACUCAAAUCCAUCGUUUCCUCAACUGUAUUUAAUCUUUCUCAUAAAGGCAUUGAGAGAAAAACAAAGUUUGCAACCGCCCUCAUCAAAAUCUAGUGCAAAAGCUCUAAAAAUCAUCACAAACAUCCAAAAACCAUUACUCAAAAUUUUUGGUUUUUUUGAACCAUUUCUACUCUUCAUCCUUUCUUUCUAUAUAAACGCUCCUCCCUCUCCCGUUUACACACUCCAAAUAAAAUCUACACAGUUAAAUCAACGGAGGCAAGCUUUUUAAGCAUAUAUUUCUCCUUUAUUUCGACAUGGAUGGUACUGCGGAAAGAAGCCUUCAUAACUUCAUAUUACACUCUCAGCUCAAAUGGGGUCGCCAAAAGCAUCUCCGAUGUGUCAAAUCAUCCCAUACCUCCUCCUCUACCUCAGCCAGUCCCUCUCCAAAAAAAACCCCUAAAGGAAAACUUACCAUGCACUCAGCAACAAUAAUUGCAAGUGGAAGAGGAGACACAACCACCGACAUUGAAGCUGUACGUGAGAAGCUGGUGACCGACCUCAAAGUCACGAUAGAUAAUCACCUGAAACUGAGGAUGUUCGAUGAUCAAGAGAAAGAAAAAAAAUCCCAUAAGUAUCGUCGGGAGGAUAACAAAAAACCCUUUGAGGAGGGGUUGCCCUGGAACUUGCGAAGUCGUCUGGCUAUCGGUAAGGCUGGGCAUGGUGUGUCAAACGUAGGUUUGUCCCCCGCCAUGCUGCAGUCACAGAAAUGGAAUGGUGGGGAGGCUAGCAAGAGUUUAGGGGGGCUGCAAAGGCCAAAGUUCUCAGCCACUCUUUCAAAUGAAGAGAUUGAGACCGACUUCUUGCUCAUGACUGGGGCAAAUCCACCUCGUAGGCCUAAGAAAAGGUCUAGGUCGCUUCAGAAGUCGCUUCAGAAACACCUUGAUGUAAGUUACCUCAUUUUUUUCUUGUGAUUUUUACCUAAAGCAUGCAUGUAUGUGGUCUGCUAGAAUCAUUUAUUGAUUCUAGAUUUAACAAUAUUUCUCUUUUCUCUCCUUCAAAUGAUUAUAGAGAUUGUUUCCUGGUUCUUGGCUGAAUGUGAUAACACCAGAGAGUUAUAAAGUUCUGGAGCAUCUUGAACCAAAGGUUGAAAUUAUGUAGUUUUCUGUGUUUAUUGGUUUAUAUUAAUUCACUUGGGUUUAAAUAAAACGUUCUAAUUUUUUUCCUUUUUUUAUUUUGUAUUUCGUGCUUGUACGAUUGUGUUCUAGCAGCAGGCCGACAAAUGAGAAGAAGAUGAAAGCAAUGGAUGUUGAAGAUUCUAGAUGAAAGCAAUGGAUGUUGAAGAUUCUAUGUUCUUAUUAAGCAAUACGAGACAAGCAUUUUUUAGCUUUUCUUCUGUUCUAGCCUUCUGCUAGGGUUGUUAGGGAGUGGUGAUAUAGAGUAUCAUGGCAGUACUGAUGUAGAAUUGCUAUUCCGAUUGUGAUAAAAAUAAAUUUGGAAUCUCAAUCCUAGUUUUAUUUUGUGUUGUAGUUAUAGCAUCAAGUUAGAUCGUUUAAACCUUUUUAUUUGGACAAAUAAACGUGAAAGUUUAUAAACUUUGUUUCCCUUCAUGAUCAUUUCAUUUGAUCUCAUAAAAUGAGAAAAAAAAAUGUGGUAUCAAUUUUUAAUAAGUAAUUUGGAUUUCAUUUUUGAAAACCAAGUAGAUGCAGUUUGAUUUUCUGAACAGAAAAUGAUUAGCUUUUUAGCACUUGAAUUAUAUGCAAAAUGACACAAAAAAAAUUCAUCCCUUUUUUUUCCGUAUUUUGAGCUUUAGCAUCUUGUAUUUUGUGUUUCCAAAAAUGUCCCUGUCUCGCCGUUGUUUUGGGUAUAAAAACAUAUGUUUUGGGUGACGACACGGUAUAGGUCCUCAAUUGGCACAAGAAUUUUAGUUAAAGGACUUAAUUCAUGCGAUAAAACAUUAAGGGAUCAAAUCGGCUUUAGUGAAAUAGUUUGAAGACUAAAUUGGCGAUUUUUCCCGUAAUUUUUGUAUGAAAAGAAAGUGUAAGCAACUGGAUGUUUCGAGUUCGAAUCUUUUUACUUACGCUGAAAUUUUUUUUUUAAAGCUUACGACUGGAUUACAAAGUCUCGGCCGGGACUACUAACCAAAUCCUAGGACUAUGGACUCGUCAACCGACACUUAUUUUAUUUGGGCCAACCCAGGGAAAAUUGCAAGUUCAACCUUGGGCUGGACGUCAUCGGCUUCGACCUGGAAAUCGUGAAGCUCCAAUAAGACAUAAACGUGAAUGUAACCAGACUGUUUUGUGCAAUAAUUAGUAGACAAGUAAUGUACAAAUCCAAAUUUCAUUAUUGGGUAGAUUUUUCUGACAUCUCAAUUUUAUGUAGCAAUUAUGGGGAAAAUGAAUAACGUACGAAAUAGGAAAUGAAUAGCUCUGUUCCUCAGCUGUUACUACCGUAUUUUAUUAGAAAAUAAAAAAUAGUGAAUCACGGACGAAUCCACGAGUUUGUUUGAAUUGCACAUAAUUUACAUCUUAUUUACACGCACUGAUUUGCUUGCAUUAUCAACACAUUUUCUAACCACCUUUUUAUUUCACAUAUAUCACAUCAAAAAAAUGUGUAUUUUUUAAAAAAAUUAUCCCAAAUAAUCUCCAAUCCAAAUACUCUAUUUUUCUUGAAAGGUUAGCCAUUGACAUUACAAUGGCACUAUCUCUUCUUCUCUUGAUUUUUUGGUUGAAUUAAUCUUCUAUACACUGCCAGUGUAUACACUUUUACCAUUGGAUCCAUGACACAUAAUCUGAAUUUGAAUUUGAAACUCAAAAUUUGCAUGUGUAUCGUAUAUCUAACCGUGAUAGUAUAUACAGUGUCAGUGUAUAUAAGAUUUGCUCCUUUUGAUUUUAGCGUAGUAUAAAAAUAUAAUGAAGAAAUUGCUUUGUCCUAAAAUAGAUUAACAAAAGGAUGGAAAUCUAGGAUGUAAAGUAGAGAUCAUCGCUUAGAUAAUACCAGGUCUAAUUUACAUGAAUAACUAGUGCAGUAGAAUGAAAAUAGAUUGAGAAUGUGUUUACGUUUUUAUAAAACAAAUACGGCUUAAUUGUGACUUGAUUAUGAGGUGUAAAAUCAUUUUUAUUAAAAAUAAAAAAAAAGGAAACAAUAGCUAUUAAAUUUUCUGUAGCCCUCAAAAAACAUUAAAACCCCAAAAACCAAGAAGGAAGAUUGCCCAGAAAAUACUAACCAAACUAAGAUAAGUAAAUCUAGACACCUACAACUUACUAUCUUAGAGAGCAUAUGAUUGUCAUUAAUGAACAUUGAAUUAUCCGAGAAACAUUUCACCCAAUCCAGUACAUUUUUCCAGUGAAGGUGGUCCAGGUAAUUAUGCAAUACCACUGAUGAUGUUGCUACGGCAUUUUCUCCUUGCAGACGUGUAUCAGCGUACGUCUCUUGAGUUUAGUUAAAAAGAAAAAAACAGAGCCCCAACAAAAAAUAAUUGCUAAAAAUUCCAAGUGUGCAUGGUGCAUUAAUGAUGCGUGGCUAAUUAUUCUGCUUUGCCACCCUUGAAAAGGAGACAAAAUUCAAAAAGCCAUAUUCAUGGAAGCUACAGAGUUGGAUUGAUUUUUACUCAAUCCAUCUCUUGAAGCAAGUGGAGUUAGUCACAGAAAGCAAUGCCUAUCUUUCUUAUUAAGGAUAGUGAAUCAUAUGCCGUGACCAAGGUAUAUACCCUGCUACACUACAAGAAAUAGUACAAUAAUGUAGCUGUAAUUGAUCUUUAUAUAUAUAUUUUUACUGUAACGAUAACAUUUUUAUAACCUAAUCUAUUCUAAUUUAGAAGAAGGGGAGCCUAAACAGACGGUAUGUAAGGGGCUAGUAGGUAUAAAAAUCUGACUAGAUCAAAGGAGUGCUUGGACAUCUCUUUUGAAUUUUUUUCACUGCAGUUGGAGUCCAAAUCUUUGACAUUCAGCCCAAACCAAAAGAACUUAGUCCCUUUUUAUGCCUUGUCCUUUAUAAUAGUAACCUGCAGUAGGUAAUUGAUCUUCAUAUGACCUUGUCCUUUUUGUGCCUCCCCUUUCUGAUGCAUCGAGGAUUGUCUUGUUACGAGCAAGAAAAUACGGUUUUACUUUUUACCUUCAAGAGUCAUGCAUUACCUUACGAAGCUAUGCCUAUGAUCUUCUAGUCAUUUACACGCAUCAGAUAAAGUUUUGGUCAAAAUGAUCCCCAGGUUUAUAGGACUAUUCGUUUGAAUAUCCCCUCAGACAGAGGUAGAUAGGACACUUCACUGGAUUGAACUGGGAUGCGUUCACGUGGACGAGUCUCUCUUUACUUCUUUCUUGUCCUAUGCACAUUCUUGAUUCCAAUAAAAAUUUUGUGCAUGCAAGGUAAAAGGCACUCCACUGAUCCUGUACUGGAAAUUUUUGAAGUCAUAUCUAAACUCAUGGUUGAAAUUUGGUCCAUUUGGAAGAGGGAGGGUCCUACAUCUGUGCAGACCAGGUGCUACGCAGGUGCUGGAUUUGGGAAUCUUGCAAACCAGCACCAUAGGUACAUAUGUACGAGAGGAAAUGAGAAGCUAAUACGUAUGUAAUGUGGAAUGGGGGUGGCAAAUGGCAAUUUCUGUUUCUGUUUCUUUUUUUACUCUUCUUUCCUUUUUCUUUAUUGAGUCUAUUGUAUAAUUGUUCAAUCCGGUCCGAACAUCAAUGGCAAGGCCACCGAUUCAAAGGGUUAGCAGUCUGAGAUUCAAAGUCACGAACAAUUAAUGAAUUGAUGUUGAACAUAUGGUGGAACCUUUGGCGUUCUGAAAUUUUAUUCAUUGAACCUAUGGUUGGUGAACCAUUGACUAGUAAACAAGUUCCUUCCUUAUAGAAGUUUCACAAUUCAUGCCCAAAUUCACCGGGUCAGUAGCCAUUUUUAGAGCCAACAGCCUUUUGGACUAUUGAUACCACCAAGACAUUUAAGUCGAGUGAAAGGUCAAAUAUUCAACCUUUUUCUUCCACCUUGCCAUUUAAUUGUGAAUUUUUCCGACGAAAAAAUUUCGUCGACUUCCUCUUUCUUUAGAUUAGAAUAGAAUAGGUUAUAUAAAUAUUAUUAUUACAAUAAAAUAAAUAGCCAUUUUUAGAGACUACAGGCAGGGUGUUGGCAACCAUUUUUGUCCAACCACUUGCGAUAAAAUGUGUACAGACAAGAGAAUCGUGACGCAGAUGUCUCGACAAUUGACCGUAAGAUUGAUGCUAGUGGUCUUUGACUGCCAGAAAGUAAGAAUUUUCUACAGUUUUUUCUGUCCACUGAGAAUGGUAUGAAACGAGUGCUUUCAAGUCUACAAAAGUUACUACUAUUCUUGCAUCAUUAAUGAAAAAAGCUUAAAUUAGAACCAAGGUAGUCAAACCAACACCAGAAAAAUGUCUACUGAAUUCUGGUUGCCCUCCAUCAACGGAUUCUUUAGCCCCCUGAUUUUGCAGUGGGAGGCAAAAUGCAGAUGCACCAUGUUCCACUAUUCAAAUUUUAUUUUUGGGUCCUGGGGACCAAAGCAGGAUUUGCAACUCAGUAGUAAAUCUACGGGUUUUUCAUAGCCAGGUUGUUUUACCCCCUUCAACAAAUUUUGACGGUUCAUUUUCAAAAGUGGUUCAACGGGAACUAUUGAAAUAGUAUGGUAUGGUAGGGCUUGAAGUUGGUGUAGUAUUUACAUCAACAAUAUAUUACGGACACUGACUCACAUUACAUACGCAAGGAUACAACAUCAAUCAAUGUCAAGUGGAAACUCGUCAUAUUCUUGAUACCUGGAACAUUUGUAGGACAAAGGGAAAGAGAUUUCUGCAUUCAAUAGCCGAAAACAGGGUCCAAGACAGAUUAGAGAAAUAACUCACUGUCGGAAAAUUAUCUGAUCAAGGACUCUUCUAGUUUUCUUCAGCUUCAGCACUGGUUACAUGGCACUAAACAAAGCAGUAAUUAGCUCAGCUCAUGGAGCUGAAGCAUUAAUAGCUUGACUUGACAUGCAUUAUUGUCAUGUUAUACGGACUGAAAAUAAUAUGAUACAGUAUAAAUUAUGAACCUGUUGGCAUGAUCAAUAGCUUCCGAGCAAAUUCCUUCAAAGGCUUCAAUAAUUCAGGGAAUGAUCACAGUCGGCAAAAGCAUUUAAGGUUUGCUAGUUAUUAGAUUAUAGAAAAGUUAGGCCUAUUAAGGAUUUCUUUGCCCCUCACUUGGUACAAACUGUAGUUUGUUCCUCUGGAUCCGGUGGUCAAAAAAGCUGGAGUUGCAAACUGGGAAGACUUGAUGUAAAGCUUCACUCAUCGAUCCCAGAGGCAUUAUUCGAGUUUCAACAAAGAGGAAAGUAUGGAGUUAGGUAUCCAAAGCAUGGCCCGCAACAGUUUAAAAUAUAAAAGUAGGUUAAAGCCUAAAAGAGCCUAGAAGGGCUUUUCCUGUUUGAUUUGGUCCUCCAAAUCCGCUAGUCAUUAACGCAUAAAUCACAUUCCUCAGAAACAAACAAAAAGCAAAGACAAAGCAAAUCUAAGGAAAGAAGGACCUAAUUCCCAUAAUACAUGAUUUACAAACAUCUAAUCAGAGUAAGACCCGGAAAGCUGCAGGCUCGAAAAUCUAGAGGAGAGCAUGUCAUAGAGAACCAAAAGAGGGAAGCAAAAGGCCAGCCCUUGAAUAAAGGUUACCUGCUUCUAUGUCCCCCAAGCUCGUGACAUGCGGAUAUGCACUACCAUGACCAUUCCAAAUCUUCCAUUCUCUAUAUCCCUCUACUUUUCUUCAUCAAAUAUCUUUGUACAAUAAUAUUUCAAAAUUUUGACAAUAUAAUUCAUCAAAAGAUGGUUACUUUCCUAAUAAGCAUGACAAGGUGGAAUCUGUGACCAUGUCAUAUGGCAAAAAAUUUGCAUGUUUAGCGUACCAUUAGCAUAUAACAAUCCAUCAUCAACAACCUAAAAUGAGCAAAUUCUUCAGGCUACUAGCAUAGAUUGAAUUAAGACCUACCGUGUAAAAAGGUCUUGCAAGAUGGUUCAUUUGCUCGGAGAUAACGAUGAAUUAUGAUGUUACAGCUAAAACUGCAAAAGUAUCAUCAUUUUUUCAUCCUCUUAUCUUUUCCGUUUCGGAAAAAAGACCCCAGACCAAGGAGAUUGGCAGUUCCCUUGGAAAUAUGAGAUGAUGGAACUGGCACAUUGAGCACUGGGCUAAUCCGGAUCCCAUUUCCAUUAGACCCCAUAUAAUUCUUCCUGAGAGGAGGUUUUUGUGACAAUGGAUACACAUAAAAGCUAGGGGCUGAUGUUGCAUUUGCACUUGCAGAGGCGGAAGCAGAAAUCCCCAUAAGAUUCUUCUGCUGUUUGGAAGAUGCAUUCUGUUUCUGACUUUCCCUCAAGCCCUGUUUUGAAUUUGGUACAGAACCAGUUGAAUUGCUCCUAGACAAUAGUGGUAAUGACCAAAAUGAGCUCUUUUUGUGACUAUUGUCACAAUGAAGGCUACUACUUCUCUUGAUACCCCAAAAAGAUUUUGAUUGAUUCUUCUGCUCUGCUUCAAUAUUUGUCAAGGUGGUUUCUUUUUCUUGCAAAAUCUCUUGCUUUGAGCCUCCAUUUGCCUGAGGAAGAAACGGAAGAGGUGGAAGAGAAGGCACCCGGUGAGCCUGAGCUUUAGAUUUCGAAGCAUUUUUUGGAGUAUGAACAAACCUUUCUUGGAGCUGCACAGGGCGAAUUAGGCCACCUGAGAAAAGCUCCUCAGCUGAAGAAGUUUCAUGAGCCCCAGUGCUAUUGCUGGUGAUGCAGAAAGCAAAAUCAUCCGAGUCUGAGUCAAGCUGUAGCAUAGAAUCUAGGCGAUAAGGUUUAUCUUCGACAGCCGCGGCCUCAUCUGUUUGGCAAAGAUCAUGAGAAAAUGAAAUUCUUGGACUUGUAUUCAAGCUUGAAUUCUCUGUGCUCGUAUCAAUUGCCAUGGUUAACUAACUUUUGCCUCAAGAAUUUGGGAGACCUGAUGAUAAAAAGCGCAUCCAGGAUAAAUCUAAAUGGGAUUCUUGUACUUAGAAAACAAAAAUUUUUUUAAGGAUUCAAAAAAGUUGUGGAACGACAGCCGCUUGAAGAAACAGAAAAGUGACAAGAUUGUUUAACAAGUCAAAGAAGAAACGUCAGCUGAGCUUUGACAGUGUCAAAAUUUUGGGGCUUCUGGUGGACUGCUAGGAUUACUUUCAUGGAUAAAUAUUACAAGUGUUCAGUGACUACAGAUCAGAGAAUUUUCCAACUAUGACUGUUUUGGGAAAGGAAUAGUUUGAGAAAGAGUAGAGGAGAAGGCAAAAAGACAGAAAAAGAGGAAGAGAGAGAUGCAAGGUGGUAGAAAAGUUUCAUCGCACUCAGAGUUUCCUUCUUGCAACGGCAAAGAAAAACUGAUUUGAGGAGUUUAAGUAGUAGACCAGUCAGUCAGUACAAGCACCUCAGCAUCUACUCUUAAACCUCCUUUUUUGUUGGCUAAAUUCUGGUGCUUAUUGACUCUGUAGGCUUUUGACUUCCGAACCAAAUGUCAAAAAAAAAAAAUUUGAAAAAAUUGUUGCCACUUAUUUAGGAAGACAAAUCUUUUGUAAGUAUUUGUGAUCCUGAGAUAAUUGUCAGAAUGUGUUAUUUCUUCUGAAUCUUCACAAUGUCCUGUUUCUUGAUUGAAGAUCUAAUACUGCUUAAUAGUAUUCCAUACUAAAUGACAAGAUUGAUCCGAGCUGAUUAGCACUAGAUUAGCAUUUAAAGCAAAAGACUCGGUGGCUUUCGAGCUGAUUCUAGCAAAAUACCGUAGCACUUUAGUAGAUUAUUUGGGAUAAUUUUAUUUUAUUUUAAAAAAAAACAGUGUAGCACUUUCUUGAUGUGAUAGUGUGUGAGAUAAAAAAGUAGUUAAAAAAUGUAUUACUGAUGUAAACAAAUAAUUUUAGCAAAUAAAACACCAUCCAAACAAACCGAUUGAGGGGUCAAUAAAAACAAAUGGAUCAAAAUAUAUUUUAGUGAAAAUUGUUCUGUAAUACAUUUAUUAUUGAAACUUCCAUGAUUUUUGUGAUCAUAUCUAAGAGAAUAAAAAAGCCACCUUAUUGUAUAUUACUAAGAUAUUCGUUGCUACUUUAGUUCUAUAUUAUUUGCCAAAUUUGACACUAUAUAAUUUAGAAUUAAUACUCUAUACACUGACAGUGUAUACACUUUCACCGUUCGAUGCAUGAUACAUAAUCCGAAUUUAAAUUUGAAACCCAAAUUUUGUACACGUGUCAUGCAUCCAAAUGUAAUAGUGUAUAUACUGUCAAUGUAUAUAAGAUUUACUCUAUAAUUUAAUGAAUCUUUUGAAAUGUCGCCGAACGAGCAGUAUUAGAUAACAUGCUAAAAAAUAAAAAGCCAAUGUAAUAAAUCAUUUUAGGAAAAUUCCAUAAUUCCUUUAGAAAACCAUUUCCUCGAUUUGGGUCCGAUGGUGAGUUGCCAUAUCACUUAACAAUCGUAGUGAUUCACGUAUUAAAACAUUUGAAAUUUUUGCAAUUCAAAAGUUUUUUUUUCUAAAAAAAAAAACUCUUAUUUCAUCAUCCGACCGACACAGAGCAUGACAAUCAAGAGGAAUUGUUGCAUCUUAAUGACAUAAUUUCUUUUUAUGGCUGAUGAAAUUGAAAAAAGUAUUGAGUAACAGCACCUAUCCUUCAUUUGCAAGGUCUACUGCAUAACUGAACUUCGGAUUCAGUGUUUGAACAUUGUAUCUGCAAUAGAAUGACGUGUAUAUGCAUGUAUGUACAUUUGAAACAGGAUGAGCAUCGAAAUACAAUUUUGAGAGAAAAAAGGUAGGGGUGUGGUUAAACCCCUUUUUCUUGCAUGAUUGAAGUUUUGGUGGCCUGCCAUCUCAACAACCGACUGGAGUUGUUUUCCUUUCCAACAAAACAAAAUCAAGGUUUCUUGUAAUUUGGGUUUUUAUUAUAUCUUUGAGUGGUGAGUAUUUGUUUUUUCUAGCAAAUUCAUUAAUGGGAAUGGGCUAAAAACAGUGGAUUUGAUUGUCACAUAUACUUUCAAGUUCAAAACACUCUCGUAAAAUUUUAUUAGGAGAAACAAAUAUUAAAUUACCACGCAAAGGGAGAAAUUAACAACAACAGGGUUACGUGGGGGAGGAUUGCAUUGGAUUGUAACGAAAAAGAGAUUGUAAAUAAGAGAUUCUGAAUUCAAGAAUUCUCACUUAAAAGAAAAAGGUCAAGUUAAAAGCAGAUAAACUUCGAGAUAAUGGAAAUAAGAUAUGAUAUUUUAUUCAAGAUGAAGUUUCAUUUGAUUGAAACUAGUUGAAAAGUUUGACAGGGGCCUUUGGAGCAAUUAGAAUGCUAAAUUAGAUGAUACAUGGACAUUUGAAUUUGGAUUUAACACAAAAUUUUGGAGCAAUGAUUAGCUAGUGAGCUGUUAAUAUCAUAAUUCAUAACCAGUUACAGUGGCAUGUGCAAAUGUAGAAAUUGUAGGCUUUGGGGUCCCUUCACCUGUUUAUGAUUCAAAUUAUUGUUAUUAGACUUAAAAAGACUUCACAGAAUGGGUUUGAUUUGAUUAACCACACAGUUCAACAGCAUACUUGCCUUCAAGUGUUAGAUUAGCUCAUAAUCAUUUGCUUGGACAGAUCAUGAUUAAGCAUACUUGCCUCCGAGUGGCAAACGUGUCGAGCGAAGAAGACAAAUUGAUUAACUUUUUAACAUAGGAUCAUCCCCGACAAUUGAUUAAUGAAGUUCUGGCAUGCUUUGCUAAUUACGUAAUUAAGUUUUGAAGUGUACCACACUAUUAUUCAGUACACGAUACGUGUCAAAAUCUAAUCUAAGUUGAAUAUGUCAGAUGAGCAAUUAAUAUUGUUCCAACUUCCAACAAUAAAAGAUAUCAUAGUUUUUUUUUCCUCUCUCUUUUAAGGCAUGAAAAAUAUAUAUAUAUAUAUAUUUUUUGGUGGUCAGAAAAGAAUACGUGAAACAAAGACAACACGAUACCGAAACAAUUAUUGCACACGAAACAGCAUUAUUUCAUGCUCUCGACAUCAAGAUAUUAGUAACGAAAAAGUCUGAGUUUCUCAGUCAUCGGAAAAAGACAUCAAGAUAUUAGUAUUUGGAGAUCAUCAAUUCCAUAUAUAUUGAAAUCAUUGAACGAGUUUGGGAUUAACUACAACUGAACCUAGUCAUUUGCCUAAAAAUUGGCAAGUGCAUCAUCACUAUUUUGAACCCCAUGAAUACGACUGAACUAUAAAUAUUGUAGAAAAACAUUAAUAAAUAAUCACGACUGAUUGAUUUACAAAAUUUUAUCAGAACUUGGAUUGAAGCUUUUCAACAAAUUAUGUUUACAUUUUUCGUGAUCAUAUUUUUCAAUCGUUUUUUUACCUCACACACGUCUGAUCGUUACAGUAUAUUUUUCUAUAAAAAGUUGAGAAGAUAGCAAUCCAAACGGGUUAAGCAGAGCAGCCCUGUUGCGGCUGCUGUGAACUCGAGGUCACUGAUCUGAUGAUGCACCUAUGGCAUGGGAAGUAGGGCAUGUUGGAGAACGAUGGGAGGCAUAUCACCGCUAUUUUAUGUCAUUGUUUUAGUUUUGACAGGUGAGCCACAAUUGUUACUUGUCAUGUGUGGGAGCUGUCUACCUAGACAAUGAAGAGACAUGGCUCCUUUGCUGCAAGUGUUUUCCCCCUCGCCUAGCCACAACCUUGGACUGCCCCACCCCUACCAGAUAAGGGGUCCUAUAAGCAUCUUCUAGCAGAGCAUAAGACUACAACUUUAUCUGCGAAUGGCCAAGCACUAGGAAGCAAAUCAAAAAUAUUGCAACUAAACCAAUCCAACAUGUCCAACCAAUCUUGCCUAUGACCGCAAAUUGUAAUUGUAAAAAGGUGCACAUGGAAUGCGGAUUAUUGUUGUUGUGAUGUCCAGAAAACAGAACCACUUAAAAAACGAAUGUGAUUUUGUCUCUCUGGUUAUGCUUUUGCUCCCUCCCCAAAUGCUUCGAUUCGAGUCUGGAAAGCGAAAGAUCGUUAAUUUAGAGACAUAUCAGAGGAAUAAUGGACCUCUCUUUAGUCCUUAUCAAUGCCCAACAGCAACACAAGCUGUUGAUCUAAAUGAUUAAAACAGCAACUGUUGCACAUUAUCCAAGCACUGAUACUUCUUUUUUGCAACUACUUUGUCUCCAGAAGAAACAGAGGAAUGCUUGAACCGAAUCCAAUGCUGUAUGCAUUUCUCCAACUAGUGUGUUGCAGUCGUGAAUCUGGCAAGGUACCUGUUAGAUCCAUUGCGCCUUGUAAUUCUGUGCAAGAAGGUUACUUGUGUGCUUUUCCAUGAUAAGUCAAUUAAAUUCUACUGUAAACAAUUUGAAGGUUUCUAUUAUAAAACAAAAAAAAAAAAAAUUAAAUGAACGCAAGGGUACCAGAAUAUGAAAUUCCAUAUUUUUUACUGCACAAUUGCAAAGAAGGUAGCAUAUUUUACUGUUACACGAGAGUGUACUUUUACAUCUCAUGGAUGGACCAAACACCACGGCCAAAACCAAAUUCACUUAUGGAGUAAAUAAAUUUGCAAAUCAAAUGAAACAAUGUGUAACCGUUGUCAUCGCAGAUCGAUUACGUCGAACUUCUGCUUAGGAUUCAUAUAAACGUCUGUACAUUGCUUGUAAAUUGGGCUACCAUCAGACGGAGGGUCAUGAGCAUGAAAACCACGUCUAGGGCAUUGCCUUAUGACAUUCAUGCCACCUGGAGUUGUUAACCGGAAUAUGCCAUGGGUUCUGCAUGAUGGAAAAUCUAGAGUUACUCGUAAUCAAAUUGAAUUUCUUUAACUAUCAAAGUAUGUAUAGCUACUACAUUCACCUCAAGCCAUCUUUCGGCGCCAUCACAAUUGCAAUAGCUUCGGGCAACAUGAUCUGUUUAGGAAAUCAAUAGAGUGUAAGAACAGAUUUCCAGCAUCUAUAGGAAGUGAAAUCUUUCCAAGACAAAGAGCAUUAAACUGAUCAAAAACAACUCAAAAACUCGUUAUAUUGGUGUAAGCGUCAGAGAAGAUUUUUAGGUGGAAGCAUGAACAGGCAUAGCGUGCUAAAUCCCAACUUCUCUAUGCAAAAUAAAUAAAUUUCCAGAGACCAAAACAAGAUGAGGAAAGUAAAAAUAAGAAUACGGAACCGUGUAAGGAUAAUGAUGAGGUGUCUUAAGAGAGUACAAAACCUGAUAAGAGUAUUGAGUGUGAACAUCUAUCGAUGACAUAAAACACGAUUGUGUGGGAUGCGUCUGCAAUAGAAUAAACAUCAUGCAAUCAAUAACUCCAAAAAUUAUAAUUGCACAAAACUGACAAGUUGUACAUGUUUAGGACAUUAAAGAAGAUUAACUAAAGAAACUGACAGAUCCUUGCAGCUACAAACCAAAUUCUCCUUCCCCUUUUUCUGGACUCAUCUUAUGGAAGUGAAAUGCAGCUUUAAUUUUCAAUUGAUCUUCUCUAGUAAUUGAGAACAUAUUAAGAAGAGCUAUGAAUUUUUAAAAAUAGCUCUUCGAAACAAUCAACGAGUGAAUACCAAAAGCAAAAAAGUUCCAGGAACGUUUAUCAAAUUUAUUAGCUACUUGAAUACUUAAAAAUGAAUAAUGACCUCUAAAAGUUUAGGUUGAAUUAAUAAAAUAGAACUCUUGAAGGAAAAUUAUCAGCUAGCAACUCCAAAGAAAAAGUUGACAGCAGAGAUUUUUGUCCUUGUUCUUAAAGGUAAAUACAAGUGUUCCCAAGUAUCUUUCUUAUAUAUUCUCAGACAGGUAAUUCCACUACACAAAAUUAUAUCUAGAGGAGACCUCUGAGUUAUUAUCUAGAUGGUAAUCUUAAUAUUUGCAAAUAAACGCAUGCCAGGUUUUAAAUUGUUGUAUCAACCUAAAGCAGUCAUCUGUCAUUGUAAUAUUAUGCGAAAGUUGAACAGAGUGCAACCAGACUUCAAUUACCAAUAAUUGCGCUUACAUGAAUCCACCCUAAAGGGAAAAGAGAUUGCUUAUCCUGCACUUCAAAUAUUUCUUCCUCAUUUGUUGUUUGACACUGCUCAGAGAAACAAGUAAAUGAGAAUAACAUUUUAAACAGGGUCGGCAGGGGCAAAUGACAUUAAAACUUACCGAAUCUGAUGUUGAUUCUUGCUUCGGGAUGAUAAGAGCAGUAACACUAAAUCUUCGGUUUUUCUGUACACAACAAAUUAAACAAUGACAAUAGAUAAUCUGUUAAGAUAACAAGUAAUACAUGGAACAUCAGGUCAACAGUGCCAUUAAGUUGAUGUCACAUACAAGUGAACCAGCAAGAACACCACAAGUCUCCAAAUUCUUGUCCGUAUUUGACUUAGCCAGCCUCAUAAAACUGUCCAUCAAUGCAGUUGACUGUCAAAACAAACAUAGAUAGAAUAAUCUACUAUCAAUUUCCUUAUUUAAUCUAACCUCCAGAGAGUUCCAACCAGGUGCCUGAGAGCACAGGUGACAACCAAACAUCCCAGAAGAAAUCCAAGUUUGAUACAAAGGGGGGGGGGGACACCAAAAAAUUAGGGAAAAACACAAAAAGUUGAUAAAGAUCCUCACAAUGUGCAGUUCCAGAGGAGCUUCAGCACAGAUGACACCAUCAGCAUUAGAAGUCAGUCCGCAAUCCCUGUCCACAACUGCGGGUGAAGUAGAUGGGAUCAAAUCUUGUAUCUCAGCAAGAACAGGAGGAGGAGAAGGCUGUCUGAUGAUUUUCGUUUGCACAGGACUUUCCAUUGUUUCAAAGGAAAUCAAGGAAUCAGGUUCUUCAACCUGAUCUUUUUUGUCAUCUUUGCUUUCCAGGUCCAAUGGUUUCAAUUUUGAUACUUCAGAUUCUAAGUUGUUAUCAUGCUUUUUUAUUGAGGUACCAUCAUGCACAGGCUUCUGGCCAUUGCUUUCUCGUGAAAUAUCAGCAAAUGUCCUAGAUUAAUUAGCAUAAGCAGAAAGGACAAAAGAGACACUAAUUAGAAAUAUGUAAGGUCCCACAAGAAAGUUUUAAUCAAUUUCCAUUGUAAAGUUGUCAUAACAUAAGUAUUAAUUUCUUCAACCGAAAUCAUACACUAAUGGAGAUAUAAUUUGAAUAAUAGUCGACAAUAAAUCCAUUUGGAGCCUAACCUUGGGAUCUCAACAGGUGAAAAGUCUAUAUUACUUGGAUAGCGCACCUGCAUUAAGUAUGAGAGUUAAAACUUUAUCGGCUUCUGAGAAAUUGAAGACAAAGAAGAAAAUCAUCAUACCCCUGUAUCACUAGGUGGAGGUUGCCAUUGCCCAUUAAGCCCAUUCGGGCCGAAAACGGAAUGUCUGGAAAGAGUUUCCUCCUUUGGACGGGGAAUGUUUAAUCUUCUACAGUAGUGAUAAAUGUAAGUAAUGCAUAAUGGAGAAAAAAAAUUUAUGGAGGCUAAUACAAACAUCAGACGAGCCUAAAAAAAGAUGCUUAUUAACAUCAAAGUACACCCAAAUUAGGAAAACACGGUCUCAUGAACUUUUAAAAUGUCUACACUAGUACAAAUAAAGUUGAUUCAGGAACUGUAAUGUUAUUCAGAUGAAAUUCAUUUAGUACAGCAAUGUGAUGCAGAAAUUAUCAACAUUUAUAUAAAGCAUCAGAGCCGUACAUAUCACUUAAACCUAAAAGAGUAACACAGAAUUGCAACUUUUCUGGUCCUAUUUUUCAUGAAUAUCAACAAAUUAUAGAAAACAUUUGGAAAGAAGGAAUAUCUGCUUAGAGAAGUACAGAAACAGCAAGAACAAGUAUAUAACAAAGGACAAAAUACCUAGCUUUACAUAAAAUUUUACUACAUUUUGAGGCAGCUGAACCAACAAAGCUUGUGAGUUCCUAGUAGAAGACUUACAUUUGGCGAAACUGUUCAUCUACUGGCUUAGUAAGAGACCAUUGCUGAGUACUUGGAGCUUGAUGAUUGUAUUGUCGAGCAACGUAUGGUGAAGUCUAUCAAAAGAAGACGAGAAUUUCUAAUAAUAGUUUCUUAAAUCUGAGAUUUGUGAUGUCCACAUUAUAGAGGAAGUGUUACCUUAGUCAUGGCAUAACUAUUCAAAUUUUGCUGUUUACCAGGAUGGUUAACAAGUGACAAAUUCAAUUGAGGCUGAUAACCCCUCUGUUGUUGGUUAAUGUCUUCAAGCUUCCUUUGAACAACUGGCUUAAGUUUCUCAAGCUCAGCCAAGGCAUUCAUUAGUUUCUGCAUAUAAAAAAAGACCAUUGUCAGGUAUAAACCCAUAAAACAAUUACAGGAGCAGAUAAACAGGUGUACCUUCUUCAAAUAAAUCUUGUCACUUUGCAGAGCUGCUCUAUAAUCACGAUGACAUGGUAUUGUCUCAGAGACCAAACUAGAACGCAAGAACAAUGAAGGUCAAUUACAUGUGCCACUUCAAAAUGAAUUUCAGACAUCCACAAACUUGAAAGCACCAUUUUCCUACCAAACUAGAUAGCAAUACAUGCCAAUCAGGGAACACAAUACACAAAGCGACCAAAUACUGACCUUAAGUCACUAAAACUCAAUCUCACCUUGAAUACCUUAGGAGCAUAAUGUACAAAUCAAUUAUAUUAUCCUCUUCCCGAAAGAUGUUAGCCUAAAACAACAAAAAGUGUCAGCUUUUGUUGGGUCCAUUUAUAGCCAAAAAAAAAAGGAUGCGCAUGCACAUAAACUUCUGCUAGUUUAUACAAUUCGAAUGCAUUUGAUUAACAAAGAUUAUGUCUUUGAUAGUUCCUUUAAGAAAGAGCUGAAAGUCGCAAAGGAUGAGACUGAAAGAACAUAAACUAAUGGAUAAUGGAUAUCCAAUCAUAUAUCUAGUAAAAAUUGAUAAUGGAUUAAUUUUACUAAAAAACCAGGACAGCAUUAUACAAGAAUAAUAGAGGAAAUGGGAAAUGGCAAGACUAGUACGACAACAGCUAGAACUGCGGUGUCGUAUAAGCUCUCUUCUGUUGAUUUAGUGCUUGUAUACAUAAAUCAUCAGACACUGCAAGCUCUCUCAUAUCUCAGGUUCUUUUAUAAUUGUUUCAUGCCCAGUGUAGCGCUGGUUUCAAGACCAUUACACAUCUGACAGUGCAAACUUGAAAACAAACAAAUUGACAACAUGGUUGUGAUUAUCACAGUAUAUAUAAGCCUUGGUCAUGCUGCUUCAACCAAGUUUGAGGUUCAAUUUGAACCCAUGUGCAACUAUCAAAGAACACGAGCAAAGGAAAAAAAAUCUUUGAACUGAUUUCUUAAGAAACCAAUAAUAUUCCAAUAUCCCGCAAAAAAGAAACACAAAACUGAGGGUAGCCUUGCCCCUCUUCCCCCCGCCCCCAACCUUGAAAUCCUAAUAUAUCCUCAUUUUUGCCUUCUAUUUUCAAAUCCGAGCUCCACUACAUCCAAAUUUCUUACAUAAUCUGUUAGCAUUGCAGCCACAUCAACCACUUCACUGGUACAACAAAGCAUGCCCAUAUCAAAGUCCAACUCAAAGCACAUUUCCAAAGCGACCCUGAACUAGUUUCUAACCGAUAAGCUAUACGUAGCACCCAUUUUAUAUGAAAUAGAACACGAGCAUAAAUACCAACAAACUCCUUCACAAAAUUCCCAGAGUUGAAAAGUUCCCUACUUUAUUCUAGUUAUUUAUCCUCUGCCUAUACUACAAUAUCAAGUGUUUGUGCAUCAAAGCUAAGACCUUGGACGAAUAAAUCAAGCAACCUAACCAUUUCAAUUUUUCAAACUCAGAACACAUUAAGCAAUUCAAUUUUAGAAGUAUUUCAACAUUCAACCUACAAGUCAAAAUUGCUGAAACAUCUACUCUUCUUUGACUAGUCCUAAAAACUCUAGCUAAUCAUAAUUUUGCUCCUAAAUAUGCAAGUCUACAGCUGAAAUGCAAGCAAGUUCUCCGCAGAAUUCCGCUAAUGUGUAAAUUAAUGCAUAAUUCACCAAAAAAUAAAUAAAUAGGAUUAUAAGUAGUUAUUGUUUCUAAUUGUCCCGUAACUGGCAUAAUCAUACUCAUGGGUGCAUAGUUCACCUGCUUGAGGACAUUAUCGGCGAUGCGAUAGUAGAAUCCCAGAGCGAUUCGAUUGUUGACGUCUAGUUUCCGAGCACUGGAGGCGAUGUUGAUCCUCACCGCCGCCGUCGACGACGAUGACGACGACCGAGUCAUCAUGCUUCUGCGCUUCACUGUUUACCUUUCUUUUCUAUUAUUGGGUUAUGGAGGAAUCGUUGGUGGGCAAGGGCGAAGAGCAUGUUCAGGGUCGGAUCGGAGAGUUCUGGUGGGCUAUGUACCCGAUUUCUCAGCGGCGGAGCUCCAGAUCGCUCUAAACGGCAGAGCUGGGGGAGUAUUUGGGCUGCGACAGGUCAGCAAAGACGUAGAAGGGUAAAAAUGGGUCACAAAAGAUUACGUACAACAGACAAUAAGCAAGAAACAAACCAAGAAAUUCUUAAAAUCAUAAAUCACUCAAAAAAAAAACCCAAGAAACCUCGUCAGCAUAAAUCACUCACACAACGACGACCCAAAAAAAAAAUCACUCAAACAAUAACCCAAAAAAAAAGAAAAGAAAAACCCCAAGAAAGCCUCGCCAUCAUAAAUCACUCAAACAAUAACAAUAAAAAAUGGGUUAAUUUCACAUACCUCUCCCCUGAGGUUUUUAACAAUUGCAGAAAACUUCCCUCAAUUUCUAAAAAUUAUACCUACCUCCCAUAUUUUCACUAUUUAAGUAACAUUCUAGACCCAAAAGGUUAUACUUUUUUCCAAAAUUCUUAUAAUGCCCUUGAAUUAUAAUUCACAACAAAAAUGUAAAGGAAAAAAAUAGUUUACAGUUUCUAUUUUAUUUAUAUUUAUUUCUUACCACUAUUACCUACUUAUCGACAUCUAAAUCACCACUAAAUAAAUACUUAUUUUUGUUUUAAUGUUCCGCUUUUACCUAAAAAUUUUUGAUGCAGACCAUUGUAUCAACUAUAAAUGCUACAUCAUAUAUCCAAAAAUUUACCUACAAUUUUAUAACAAUAUCAGAUUUUACUUAAUAUACUACAAUAUUCAUCAAUAUUCCUAAAUUUCAAUUCCAUGGCUGCCACCUUUUUAAUACAAAAUAAUCUAAACCAUCACUACUAAUAUCAGUAUCCAAUAUAUUCCAUUGGCACAGAGUUCAAAAUCUAUCAAAUUCUCUCUAUAGGAAUAAUAUCAAUAAUUGUAAAUAAAAAAUAGAAACACAAUGCAGUUAUAAAUAUAUAUCAAAAACAUUUUUUUCCAUGAUAACCAUAACAGUAUAACCUAUAUUUAGUUCCUAUUCCACUUCUUAUCCUUAAUUUUUAUUUUUUAUCACUGUCACUAUGUUUAUCUCCAUCUAAUUUGAUAAUGAAAUUAACACUCAAUUUGUCAUUUGGCAAUUUCAAUUUGCCAAUACCUAUCAAAAACUGGAAACAAAAAUGGGCGCAAGGAAAUUAUUUACUAAUAAUAGAAAAAAGGGUCCAGGCAGUCACAUACCUGCAUAAGAAAAAACCCAGAGUCCCAAACAACUUACUUGUCCUUCCCCUCGUUGCAACCAUGGACUCUGGCAUAAGUACAUUCUUCUCCUCCUCUCCUUUUUUCUGUUUUUCUUUGGUUAAUUUUUAUUUCUUAUUUUAUUUUGUUUGGGGGUUUUAGAUGAUGAAGGCGGAAAUGGCGACGAUCUUGAGAAUCUUGUUGGUCACCAGGUUAGUUCAUCCGAAGAGAGUUUAAUUUUUUAAAUUUAGUUGUAUAUGAAUUUUGAUCAGGUCUAGUCUUGUCAAUUACAGCUUCAUCACGGGGAAUCAGAUGGCGAAGAAUGAAUUUCAAUUUGAUAUCUUGGACCCCGCACAUAUACAACUCAACAUCUGUACAAUGCACAGAAACCUUCGAACCCUACUACAAGAUUAUAGUUCUGUCCAUGAGGCCACUCAGCAAGUCUAUGAGGACAUUGAAAAUAUGAAGAAAGUAGCAAGAAUCCUCCCACCUGGACUAUAUUUUCAAAAACAUUGGGUUUAUGUUUUCAAAUUUUGACAUCGAGGUCUGAUUAUUUGCUUAAGAAAAAAUUAAUGGAAGAAAUCAAACAUGCAAUCCCAUGUGGCAGUUAACAAAUCAAUGGGUGUGAUAGUUUCAAAGGUAGAUGACGUAAGGUUGGUGCAUUUACUCUUAAGGGAAUAGAGAAUAGACAAAAGGGGAUACUUUCAUUAUAAUUGCUAGCACAUAUAUUUUCACGCAGCAAAAGGAGAUACUUUUAUUAGUAUAAUUUACACUGAUGAUGAUAUAUAUAGAUAAGAUUUAUUCUAUAUUUUCUAGCAUUAUAUAUUUGGAAGAUUAAAUUAAAAAAUCUUCUUACUUCAUAUGACUAAACUAAAGUCUUUAAUUCAAAUUGAGAUUUUCUGUUAGGGACCAAAUUGAUACUUUCAGAGUAUUUCAAAGGACCAAAUAAAAACGUUUCCAAUUUGACUCAAUUAAAUUGAGAUUUUGGAGACUAAAGGAAAUUUACCAAUAGCCAAACUAGUUAGUUGACUUUCUUUAAUAGUCAUAUUAUGUGGGUCCCAAACUUUUAUUACUGCCAUUGAAUAGAGCCCCCGAUUUCUAGUUUAUGGGUUACGUCUACGGUGGAAACUUCACUUUUCUGCCCAUAAUAGGCAGAAGCAAUGCAAGGAGGCCAACUGUGCUCUGUGGGGACUAGGCCAAUCAAAGCUCGGCUCGAACUCGGUCAACACGAGCUCGAGCUGUUCGUUAAUACAAAUGAGGCGAGCUCGAGUCUUCGUUUUCUUAGGCUCGAUAACUCGACGAGCCGCUCGUUAGGCUCGAGUAAAUGCAAAAUUAUAAAAAUACCCCUGAAUCAAUUAAAAUUUACAACUUAUUUUGUUUCUCACUUCCUCUAUUAGGUUACCUAAUUUUCCUUCCUCAUUUUCUCCAAUCGAAUUUCUUCCUCCACCGACUGUCCCAGCUGCCAAACUCCUAAUUCGUAUUUCCGCCACCGUCAUCUUUGCUAGCUCCACCUCCACCACUUCCGCCAGCUCCUCAGCAACCUCCAAGCUUUCUCUGCUGACUGUCCCAAGUCCCAAGUCCCAAACUCCCAAUUCCCACUUCCGCCAGCUCCACUUCAGCAACCUCCAAGCGGUGCAAGAAGCUGAGUUUCUUUGCUUUCUUUCGUCACAAAUAAUGAAAAAGUCAAAGCAGCAGACCUGCGCAGGGCUUCUUCCUUCAAUAGCGGAGAACAUGGCCAAAGCUCUGCUUUGUCUCACUACCUGGAGAGGCUUCUUCACCCGGUCUUAGAUAUCUAGCCGAUGUCUUCUCACUCUAUCUUGCUUUUCUUAUUUUCCUUCUCUUUAACAACGAAGUUGCUAGGAAAAGUUCUAGAUCCGUGGCGGGCUGAUGGCUCUUGUGAAUAUGAGCAGAAGGAAUUUAGAAUCAUCUUCAAAGAAGUUAGGCAAACCAAGUAGUGGCAGACAAACAUUUGAAGUAGUGGCAGACAAACCAAGCAGUGGACUUUUUUUUGCUGGUAUCUUUUGCUGGACUAUCUUUUGUUUCUUUUGUAGACAAACACAAGCUGAUUUCGAGCUCGAGCUCCUAACGAGCUAGAAAUCUAGCUAAAUUCGAGCGAAACGCGAGCCAGAAAAUCGAGCGAAACUCAAGUUGCUCACAAGCCAGAAUUUGAGCUAGGCUCGCGAGAUAUAAGCGAGUUGAUCUCGAACUUGUCUUUUCCUAAAUCGAGCCGAGCUCGAGCUUCAUUUUACGAGGUCGAGCUCGAACUCGAGCUGGCAUCUAAAUAAGCCUAACUCGACUCGAUAAUUUUAAAAUUUGACUCGACUCGACUCGUUUGCAACCCUAGUGAGGACACACAAAGAAGGAUAUCUGGGCACCACUAGAGAAAACCAGUCGUGCGUAGAUGAAAAAUGUAAUAUAUUUUAAAAUCACAACAAAAGUACUCUUAAAAAUUUGUUUAUCAUCUAAUGCCCAAUACUUAUAUUUGAUAAAUUAAAACAGUUAAUUAAAUAUUCUAUUAUAAUAUAAACAACUAUAUGUCAUUGAGUUGAUUGACUAAUAUUUUCUUUUUCUUUUUUGGCAUUUCAACUAGUUAUCAAUUAAGUUUUAAUUGAAAUAAAGAUUUUAUAAUUAUUUAAAUUAUUCAAUAAAAUUAUCAAUUUAAGAUGAACAUAAAUAUAAAUACAUUAAAUUGUAUUAUUGAAAUAUUUGAUUUAAUAUGAAGGAAAGAUAAGAAGAAAUAGCAAGAAAUUUUUUAAAAAUUCAUGUGAGUACUUUAUAUUGAUAAUCACGUUUACUUGUUAUUGUAAUUACAAUACCUAAUCAUAACCGAUUGAAACUCAUAUCCACAAGUCGUGCAACGAUUUUGUGUUAUACUAUUUACAAUUAAACAUACUACAUACUCAAAUUAAAAUUCUCUUUUUUCUACUAAAUUUUCUUUUAUAUAUGAUUUAUAUGUUAUCAUUUGUUUGUAAUUAAUUUAAUAAAAAGAUGCUCUUUAGGGUAAAUGAUAUGUUUUGACAAUGUGGAUUACUUUUAAGGAUUUUAAUGAGAUUUAUAACACAUUUUUAUGCAUUUAAUCUAAUUCACAUUUUUAUUUCAUUUGAAAUAUAAUUAUUUAAAACAUAAGGGAUCAUAUUGAUCAAUUUUUCAAUUAUUAGGGACCAAAAAAUAUAAAGUCAAAUUUUUGACUAAUUUUAACUUGAUUUUGACAGUUAGAUAUUGUAGUUUUCUAUUAAUUGUUCUCAAUUUGCCUAAAAUUAAAAAUUUGGGACCAUAUUUUAUUUGGUCAAAAUAUCAGGAACUAGUUUAACUCAUAAACCAAACGUUGGAGGACUAAAAUUGCAUAUCUUCCUUUAUUUUAAUCAUGUUUGAUAUCCCAACUCUUCGUUUCAUAUUUAUGCUUCAAUUAUUUCAAAUAUCAAACUCAAUUAAAAAAUAAAAACUAUUACAAUAUUUGUUUUGGCAUGUACAAAAUUCACUAAAUAAUGUUAAAAAUUUCACCUAUUUUCCAUUACAACAAUUUCGUCUAUCAUUUUGUACAUUUGAUUUUCACGUUUCUUUGACAUUCACUUUUUCGCUCUUCACUGUUCAUUGGGAACCGUGUCUCGGUUGGAGUGUUCACAAAAUAUUUUCUAAGUAAUAGGCAUUAGAUGAUGAACAAAUUUUUAAGAGGGCUUUUAUUGCAAUUUUAAAAUUAUUGCAUUGUUUUAUUCAAGCACAAUCGACUUUCUCCUGUGCCCGGUACAUUAUUUCUCUGCCCGUCUUUGUGCGUUCUCAUAGAACACAGUUGGCCUCCUUGCAUUGCUUCUGCCUACUGUGGGCAGAAAAGUGAACUUUCCACCGUAGACAUAACCCUAGUCUGUGAAUGUCCUAUUUAACACCACAUAUGAAUCCGUGUUUGUUGUGUUGUUUAGUUUCUAGUAAAAAUGUGUUUACCAUAAAAAUGUCAGAAACUACUGCACCAUUUUAUAGAAUUUACCCGAGACUACAGGAAGAGAAGAAUAAAGGAGAGAAUAGACAAAAGAUUACAAAAGCUCAUUUGUCUAUGCUCUAUAAUUCUUUUGCUUUAUUGUCUAGAAAUUUCUAGCUUUCAGAUGCGUCCACUAUCUGAUAAAAAAUGAUAAAACAUUCCUUUUUCAAUUCUUUCUUUCUUUUUCUGUUUUUCCUGAAUAUUCCUUGCUCCUAACCAUUACGGAUCCCCGAAUUAUUUCUAGAGUAUCAUUACUCUAUCUUGAGCUAUCUAUCUAUCAUUUCAUAAACUCAUUAAAUUAGCUAGCGUUUCUGGGCAUAUGGUAUUAGUGUUUUCAUUUAGACAUGCAAUCCUGAUCCAACGACAAUGCUUAUGGCCCUCCCGUCUACUAUUUUCAUUAACGAAACAAGAAACUGGUAGUCUGUCACGUAUCUAGGUACGGCAGCAAAAGCUCAUUAUAAUUGCUAGCAUAUGUACUUUCACGCACAAAAGGAAAAAGAAAAAAAAUUAAGCCAAUAAAAAUGUAAGCGCAGAACAGAACACUGUCAUCAUUGCAAGCCAAUAAAGCCACUCCAGCAUUACAACAAUGACAGUAUCCAAGACCAGAAUACUUGUUCAUCUAUCCAGCCGAUAUUAACAACGUAAAUUAUCAAAAGCAACAACGACCUAUCAAAAUGAUCAAUACAUAUUUGUUAAUAACAGUAGGACAUCAAUCCAAGCGUUAUUUUAGGAAUGCGCAUCUCCUUCUUGGUCUGCUCUAGCUCUUUCUCCUGCUGCUCCUUCAGUAUCUCAAGAACACACUUCGCCUCAAAUCUUCUGCAUUCCCCUCUCCUUUUCUCCUGCUGCUGCUUGUAUAGUCUCUCAAGAAAACACUUAGCCAAAUUGUUUUGCAACUUUGUGAGAUCAAAUUGACGUGAGGUUAAGUCGGCCAACCAUAUCCCACGAACAUCCGUUACCAUACGGAUAAACUUCUUUCUUCCAGUAGUUGAUAAAUAAUCAAAAUAAACAACCCACUCGGCUUUGUGGCCGAGGCAAUUUGAAGGGUGCAAUUUAACUAUUUGGUUGACAGUCAGUCAAGUAGUAGCCAGUUAGGUGCUCCAAGCGAGCCACCUACGUGAUAUAGCCAGCUAAAAUGGCUUUUCUAAUGUUGAUAUAAUAGUUAGGGCUGUUGACGUCUGUGCUACAUAACUUAAGUCCAGACCUGACCAUGAUGCGAGAUAGGUGCUCUCUUGCAUUUUCAGCAUCUACAAGUACUCUGUGAUUUAUAAAAUUUCUUUCACACCAAAACAGGUCCUCCUUGUUCUGCCUGUAUCCAUUAUAAACAUUUAACAGCAUAAGAUAAUCCCCAUCACCAUGAGCGAAGCAAGCUCUUGCAUCAUCUGCAGCAAUUAAAGCCUCUUAAGGCCGGAUAAAGCAAUUUGGAACCAGAAGCAUGGCAGAAACAGAGAGGUUCAUUGGAGCAGUUAAAACCUAAGCUGACAACAAGCAUUUUAGCCAUAUUUGGAUCCACGGGAAAUUCACUCAGAAUCUCACCCAGUCUGGUCAUGUUCCCAUCAUUAUCCAAGGCAUUCAAGUACUUCAAUACCUCUACUGCGCUCAUUAAUGACUCCCGGGCUGGAGGGUCCAUGAAAUUAAAAUGGACUAUAUCAUCUAUCCCAAGUUUCUUCAAAGUAAGAACAAUGCUUACCAUAUUAGAUCGAGUUAUUUCUAGUGUUGUAUGUGGCUCGAGGUCAUUGUGAAAGUUUUUCUCUAUGUAGAGCCUAAAACAUUUCCUGGUUGUGUUCUUCCAGCACAACUGGAUAUUUGGUAAACACUUGCCUUUGAUAUCCAAGAAACAAGGUACUCUGUGCCUACUCAAGGGUGCACUUUUCGCUUGGAGAGACCUAAAUCUACAACAUAAACUAUCCCAUCUAUGGCCAAAGAAGUUUCAACAAUAUUUGCAGAGACAACAAUCUUCCUUCCAGCAGUGCCACCUUUCAGCAGUGAAGCAGGAGCAGGUUCAAAGACAUCUUGUUGCAUGGCCAGAGGAAGUGUAGAGCAAAGAGGAACAACUUUUAUAGGUCCAACCUGACUUCCUAAAUUUACCAUUUCCAAGGCAAUCCUACGACAAACAUCUUAAAUCUCCUCUUCUUCCUCAUUGAGAAAAACAAGUAUGUCUCCAGGGGGUUCAAAACUAUGAAUCUGCGAAAGAGUCUAAAUAACUGCCUCCAGGUGAUUAGUCUCAGGCUGCUGCUCCUGAAGUGAAUAGACGAUAUCUAUAGGGUGAAGCCUUUGAGGGACUUCCACGACAGAUGCAUCACAAAAAUACCUUCUAAACUUUUCAGCUUCGAGAUUAGUGGCACUCAUAACCAUUAGCUUGAGAUCAUCGAGUCUUUUUUUCUGCAGUUUCUUAAGUAGCGCAAGGAGAACAUCUAUUUCCAGCGUUCGUUGGUAGGCCUCAUCAACAAUGAUCAUUUUGUACCUUUCCAGCAAUGGAUCUGUCAUAGCCUCUCUCAGAAGCAUAUCUGUUAAGUAGUUCAAAACAGUAGUUGCACUAGUGCAGUUUUCAAAACGAACAGAGUAAUCAACUUCCUCUCCAAGGGUCAUAUCCAUCUCUUUAGCAACUCGUUGAGAAGCAGACAUCGUAGCAACCCUUUGAGGCUGGGUGCAGCCAAUCAUGUACUUGCUCCCCUGACUCUCUGAGGUGGUGGUCUGGGUAUCAUUAGUAACAGCCUCCAGCACAAAUUGAGAAACCUGUAAGAGAGAAGUGGAUAAGAAACAGAUGUACUAGUAGGUCUUAAAGCACAAAAAACUCAACUAACAUAGAAAUACACAUUAGGGAGCUAAACAAAGAAAAAAAAAUGCCAGUACUUUGUGAUUAGGAAAAAUAGCUGACACCAACAAAACAAAGGAAAACAGCAAAACCUAAUGAGGGGUCCAAUUCUAGCUCGUUACCAAUCACAAACUCUAUAGAUGGCUCCCAACAACACAACAAACCAACCAUACAAGAGUCAGUAAAUCAUGUAAUGCUAUUAACCCAACCAAUUGAAUUUACGGGACCGUAUAUACAUAGUCCUAUAGGCCAGUAGGUAGAGGGUUAAAGAAACAGAAGGCUGAGGCAGAGUCAAAAAAUUAACUCGAUCGCAGAAUCCUUGAAAGAAAGACAUAACACUAAGGUCUGCAAUAUAAAGUAGUAAAAAUCUAGAUAACCGAGAGCUAGACAGAGACAUACCUGGGUGGAUUUGCCGCUACCAGGUUCAGCGACCAAGAUUAGGGCUUGAUGUCGUGUAAAGACCUUCAGGAACUCAUCCUUGUGCUGCCAAAUUGGGAGACUACCCCUCUUCCCCAGAAUCUCAUUGUGCAGGCCCCACCUACUACAUCUCCGGCCAAAGUUUCUAGUCGCCUCCACCACGUGUCCACCCUCGCCGACCAACUUCGCAAGUUCAAUUUCCGUCCCAAUUUCCAUCUGAUACAAACACGCCCCUAAAACCCUUAAUAGAUAGAGAGAAUAAAUUGAUGACUCUUGAUCAGCAAGAGAUGACUGACCAUACUCAAUUACUACUUUUGGAGACAAAACCUAAAUUACUACUACGAUGAUAAGAAGGUUACAGAAAAAGAUAUAUGUAUAUAUACAGGGUAGUGAAGUUCUUGAAUCCUGGAAGGAAUAAGGUUCGUCCGCCGAUUCAAUUUUCAACCCGGAAGAGGACGUGGAAAUUUCAGAGAAGUACAGAAACUCGACAAACACGUCAUUUUCUGAAAGACAACGAGAAAAAAAAAUGGAAAAUUGCAGCGCUUAAUCUGGGCUUCGACAGCCAAGUCACACUGGUUACAAACAGAACACGCCUACCGAUUCAUUCAAUCAUCUACCCAUGUGUUGUUAAUUGAACCGACCUAUAAGUUAUGGGCUUUGUUGUUGUGCCCAAUUACUCCUGUUGCUGUUCCAUUUUCUCAGCCCCUUUUUGGUGGAAAAGAAAAUUUGUUCGAAAUAAGUCCAAGGCAAUAGCAUUUUGUCUGUGAACCAAACAAACCCAUAAAAUUUGAUGUUAAUCUAUGGCGGGCAAUUUUAGAACUCCUAUCUAUAUCUUCAGUCAUAAGGGUAAAGUGGUCCAAUUAUUUUGAAAAAUGAAGCGCUUUCUAAAUUAGAAUAUUUUUUAUUUGCAUUCAAAUUACCCUAAUAUUCAUAACUAUUUCACUUUUCCAUUUCUCAAUUCCAUGCUAUAAUUCCUGUACAAUUUUAAUUCCAAAGUCUUCACAAUUUUUUUUUUACUUUCUACAAUCUUGAAUCUCCUUCCAUUUUGUUAUCACGUACAAAAUGUUUUAAGGGUAAUAAUUGUUAUCGUAUGCAUUCAAAUUCACAUAGUGGGUUGAGUGCGAUUUAGACAUAUUAAUGAUUAACUAUUACACACCCAUUAAAAAAAUAUCCAUUAUGAUACAUUUCCACAAGUAAUAAAUUCAUUCUAAAUAAAUAUCUACCGUAGUAAGGAGGUUAUAAAACAAUUGUUCUAAUUAAUUAGUAAAAGAUUUGUCUCAGUUCAUUUAUAGUUUCUUAACUGCAUUUUGGCCCCAAUAAUAUGUUAGUCUAAAAAAUUCUCUAUCCAAACAAAAUCAAAAGGGACGUCCCUAACUUUUUUAAAAAGUUAGGAGUUAAUCGAGUGUGUUUGGAUAGAGUAUUAUUUAAAAUAAUUAUUGUAAUAUUUUUUGUGAUACGAUGUAUGUGAAAUGAAAAUAUAGUUAAAAAAUAUAAAAAAGAUAAGUUAAAAAAUGUAUUUAUAAUGUAAACGAAAUAUUAUUUAAAAAAAAAUUAGCUAUCCGAAUUAUUAUUAGCUACCCCUCUACUUUUCUUUUCUUCUUCUUCUCUUUUUUGAUUUAUCAAAAUCUAGACUUUUUUUUUUUGUUUUUUUGAAGGAAUCAAACGCUAGACUUGAACCGAGAAUGGAUCAAGUUGGAAUUAUCAAGUAGUCCAAUUCCAACUUGCAUUUGAAGUGUAUGAUUGGACAAUAAAACGUCACCUGCUUUGACAACCCGACUUGUAUUGGUCGAUGAAACAUAAAACUUACUGCCAAGUGCCACUGCCAACCAACCCAAUCCGGCAAACUAGUACAGAGUAUAGACAGCACAAGGAGAAGGUCUGUAAUUCUUGGACAUCUGAAAAGUCAACGGGAAAGUAAAUUGUGUAAACGUGUCCAGAACUUCAAAUUAUACAUUCAUCCCGGUCCCGGGAAACUUCUGAGUACAAUUCAAAACCAAACUAUCUUAGUUGUCUAUCUUCGUUGUCUCCAUUCAUCUUCUCUUCUCAUUCUUAGCCGUUACUGUUGUUGGGUUCUCAAAAUUUUCUAAAGAAGUACAGUAGUAUGGAGAGUAGAUUCUUGUCCUAAUUUGGAGUUGCAGGGAUUCUUGAUUCAAGUCUACAUGGGUUUGAUCUCGAAUUGCUGUUCUUGCUUGGCUAAAUUCCUGAGACGGGGUGCCUCCGCCAAGGCCGACGAGGAUGACGCUGAUGAAGAAGCUGCAUCGGGUUUGUUUUUCCAGCUUACGGCUCUGCAGAUUGCUACCAAUUUCUUUUCUGAUUUAAACCGGCUCGGUCAUGGUGGCUUUGGCCCUGUUUACAAGGUAAGGUAAUCAUUAAUCAAGAAAUUCAGAUUUCCUUCUUCUUUUUUUUUUUCCUUUGUGAAACAGGAGAUUUCCUGCUUUUAAACAUACAUGUCAUUUUCUGUUCAGAGAUUGUUAAUUUUCGUUCUUUUAGUGUUAUCCUGGAAGUGAAUUGCCCAUAAUUAGUUCUUGUUAGACCUCUUUCAUGAUUAUUGUAGCACAUAUUUUUCUGCAUGCUUGGCAAAUUGGUCAUAUAGCUUCAUAAUUAUGACAUUGAUUCUUUCAUACUAUUUCCUGUGAUUCAUAAACUUCCUACGUUAAAUGUAACAAUUUUGGACACGGAAUUGAGAUAUAGUCAAGUGAACACGUUGUUGUCUAGUUAGGUUUUCGGUACAGUACUAUAGCCUCUAUUCAUUGUGAGUUGUUACACAUUUAAUGGUAGGCAAUUUCUCUUCCACUGAAUGUAUAAAUUUGUCUGCAUAUUUGUGCUAGUACUACUAUACAUAAUAGUGGACAAAGUCCGAAAAUUUUUUACAGAAUAUGGAAUUCCCCACCUUUUUUAACCAGGGCAUGUUGGAUAUGUAUGUUUUCAGUUUGUGGUUGUUGUGACUUUCCCUGCUAUAUAUUCUUACUGGGUCAGAGUUUUAGGUGCAUGGGUUAUGUACUUUGACCGUUGAAAAUGACAUUGAUUUGGUUGCACCUAAUGACAAAUUCAUAGAGUUUGGAUCAUUAUAGAGAUUUCAACUAGGUUGUAUUUGACCAGCCAGUAAAAAAAGUAACAAGUUAAUUUCUUUGGAACUUCUUCCACGACCUGCUUUGAAUUUGAACGAGGGUUUGACUAUGUAGAUCUAGCUUAUGACUAGUUAUUGUGCAGUUACUUUUUUUACGAUUAAAUUUUUUGUGCUCAUAGCGAUAGUAGAAGAAAGCCAUGUCCUUGCUGUGGACCUGCCUCAGAUAUAGUUUCAGUUUAUGAAGCAGUUUGUGAGGAGGCGAGAGAGUUCAAGCGUUUAUAAGGAGAUAUAAAACAAAAGAUCUUAAAUGGUAGCAAGCAUUUUGUGCACUUUUUUUGUUACCUUUCUACUUUACUAGUUGCAAGGAACAGAAACGGGGAAACCUAAUUGAUAAACUUCCUGUCAAGAAUUUCUACAAGGGAGAAUCUAUUAUAUUGUCUUAAGAAAUAUUGCAGGACGAUCACAUUUGCCUGCAUAAGUAUGUGAAAAAAUUGACAUUUCUGAUGUGUUUCAACUCGAUUUGGGUUGAUUUGAACCAUGAGAUGAUAUUUGUAUAAGAGACAAGUAUGAAACAAUAUGAUACCAGAACGUAGUUAAAGAGUCCUUUCUCAGUUUUGAGUACCCAUUCUUUUUGCUGAUGGGACUAAUGGUUGGGUUUAUUUUUACAAUUAGGUUGAUUGAAGUGAACAACUUUGACCAAUCUAUUCUCAUUUUGUUGAUUAAGCUAUUGAACUAAACCACUCGUAUUGGUUUCUUCUUUUCCUUGAACAAGAGUCUCUUAGUCCUAAGUGCAUCCUUUAAUUGAAUCUUCAUAAUUUUCCUCCACCUUCAGGGAUUGAUGCCAAAUGGUGAAGAAGUAGCUGUGAAGAAAUUAUCAUUGGACUCUAGACAGGGAGUAAGGGAAUUCGCUAAUGAAGUGAAACUUCUACUGAAAAUUCAACAUAAAAACCUAGUCACAUUGCUGGGGUGUUGUGUAGAAGGACCUGAGAAGAUGCUUGUAUAUGAAUAUCUUCCAAAUAAGAGCCUUGACUUUUUCCUUUUUGGUAAAUAUCUUGUCCAUUUUAAGAAAUUUUAAUCAAACACUCCAUCCUCUCAAAGCAUUACAAAAGUUUGUAAGCUGGUGCUUUGCAGAUAAAGAGAAGUCUCCAUCCUUGGAUUGGACAAAAAGGCUGCAAAUAAUUACAGGUGUUGCAAGGGGGCUUCUCUAUCUACAUGAGGAAGCCCCUGAAAGGAUUAUCCACAGGGAUAUCAAAGCUAGUAAUAUAUUGUUGGAUAAUCAACUGAAUCCAAAGAUCUCAGAUUUUGGUCUGGCAAGACUUUUUCCGGGGGAUGACACCCAUUUGAAUACGUUUAGGAUAUCUGGUACUCAGUAAGUUUCCAAUUAUCUUUUUCUGUUUAUUCUCCACUCAGUACCACUCACUAUCACUGAUAAAGUGUUGUCGGCAUAAUAUUCUGAGAACCUAGCAUCUCUAUCACUGCAGUGGUUAUAUGGCACCAGAAUAUGCACUGCAUGGAUAUUUAUCUGUGAAGACGGAUGUUUUUAGUUUCGGUGUUUUGGUUUUGGAGAUAGUAAGUGGAAGGAAGAAUCUUGAUGGGCGGCUAGGAGCUGAAAAGGCGGACCUCUUAAACCAUGUAAGCAACCUUCCCAUGUUUAACCAGUCAAAUGCUGAAUUGUUAGUCCACAUAGGAUUCAUGUGCUGAUAAUAGAAGUUUAAGAGUCUGAUCACUUGGUUCUUUUCCAGGCUUGGACACUUUAUCAAGCUGAGAAUGCAUUGGAAUUAGUUGAUGCAGGCCUUAACAAGUACAAUGCUGUUGAAGCAGCAAUGUGCAUCCAGUUGGGUUUGCUAUGUUGUCAAGCUAGUGUUGCAGACAGGUUGGAUAUGAAUUCAGUUCACCUCACAUUGUCUAGUGACUCGUUUAGCCUACCCAGACCGGGAAAACCUGGGAUUCAAGGCCGUGUAGGACGGUUUUCUCAAACUGGUUCCACAGCUUUUACUGAUAAAACCAACACCAACACCAACACCAACACUACCACCACACAUACUGGUGCCACCAAGGUUUCCUCAGCUAAUAGUUUUCUCGAGGAAUUUUCCAGGAAUUCAAUCUCCUAUUCUUCUCUGGACGAAGGCAGAUGAAAUAUGCGUGAGCUUUUUUUCAUUUUAUUUUUCCAGUAUAGACAGGAUAGCUUUUCUCCCUUCUUCCUCCUUUUUCCUCUCCCUCGCACCGCCGUUCGCGAUUUGUUUCCUUUUCGAGUUAUUUUGUAGAAUGUUAUCAUUCAUUCUUUCUCAGUAUAUCCCCCCUCCCCCUCCCCCCAAAGUUCGUUGUUUAUACUACUAGAAGAAGAUGUACAAUAUUUGAUAUUGUCUAGGAAAGCUGGCUUGUCCUCUGGUUAACUGAUUAUUAUAAAUUCUGAUUUUGGGUAAUAAAUUUUUUGUAAUAUUCUUGUUUACUUUUAUAUUUAGAUUAUAGUUAAAAAAAAUUAAAAUUCAUAAUCAACCGAUCAGUAGCUUUUGGUGAUUGUAAUUAUUCUCCCUAAUCACUUCUCAGAUUUUCCAAAAUUUAAAAGCAAACAAGAACAAGGCUAUGCUGAUAUAUUACCUAGCUUUUGUAUGCUAAAUUAAAUUGUUCACCAAUAGUUACUUCUCAUCCAUGCAAAGGAAGAGUAACUAUGAAGUUCAAUAUUCCAGUUCAACGUGUUUUCCUGAUCUCCUUCUAAUCAGAAGAAUGCAACUGAUACUAAAAAAAGACUUUUUAAUGUUCAAAGUCACAACUUUCUACAGAUUACAAAUUUACAAAUUUUUUUUUUUUUUUUUACACUUUCUAUUUUCAGCUGAAGUCUAUAUCAGCUCUUUGAUCUGAUAUUCUGAAAAUCAACUUCCUCACUUUUGGAAGAUAAAUUAAAGUAAACAAUAAUACAAUUUUUUAUUUACUUUUUAUUUUCAACUGAAGUCCAUAUCAGCUCUUUGGUUUGAUAUUCUGAAAAUCAACUUCCUCAAUUUUGGAAGACAAAAUAAAGUAUCAAGAUUUUAUUAUUACGAUUAAAAUGGCAAGAUUUGGUCAAAUAACCCUUCAACAAAUGCUAGAAAUUGGUCGAAAACAAGACAAUUGAUGUAAUUUUCCUAGUUGGGCGGUGCAGCAGUCAGGAACACCGUUCCCGCUGCCCAUUUCGCGUCAGUACAAAAAAUUAAUACCGCGCGUAUCUCUAGUUAGCUUAGGAAUCUGUUUCAAAGAAGAGAAAAUUGCAAUUUUGGUAUCAAAUGUUUGGAGCAUCCACGAUUUUAGUCCUUAAAAUUUGGACAAAAGCAAAUGUAGUCCUAAAUGUUUCAGUUUGCAAGCGUUUUUUAUUUCCGCAAAUUGUUACCAGAAUUUGAUCAAGUCAGUAGCAAGUGUCGGCGGCUAAAUUUUGAAAAAAAAAUUAGGAAAAAAUGAAGAAGUACUGGUAGCCAUAAUCUAAAAUUAAAGGGCUCUAAUUAGUCACAUUCUGAGUAAUUAAUGUUUAUUCUUUAGCCAUAUGACUACUCUGCAUACUAAUAAUUAAUACUCUUUAAUUAUAAAUUAUGAUCACUAAAAUUUUUUUUUUAUUUAAAUUUAGUUGCCGAUGCUACUUAUAUGAUCGAAUUCCAGUAACUGUUUGACAAAAUCAUAGGAAUUAAAAUAUUUAAAACUAGUUUUGCUUUUAUCCAAACUUUAAGAACUAAAACUGCCAAUGUUCCAAACAUUUGAUACCAAAACUGCAAUUUUCUCUUUAAAAAAUGUAUUUCACUUUUUCAGCUCAACUCCCAAAAACACCCACUUCAAUAGAUCGUUCUUCAGUUUAACUGAACUGAGCAACUGCGGUGUGAGCACCACAGUUUCCAAAUCUUCAAACAAAGGAAGCACUACUGACCAGUAUUUAGUUUGUAGGAGAAGCCCAGCUGGGCUUCUUCUCAAUUUGAAGAAUAUAGUUAUAUGCUUGGGUGCCGAUUGCUACGUACUAGAUUAAUACUAGCGUAGUAAAAGGAUUUUGUACUGAUAUUCAAUGGCCAAUUGGGAGUUGAAGCAUUGCUGCAACCAUGAGCAAGUGGUCUUCCUCACCUUUCUUGGUGUCUGUAGUGUUGUCAUCCUUGCUGUACUCAUCUCUCUCUCCCUCUCUGUUUCUCUACCUCACACACACACGAAAACGCAGGGUUGAUUCUUAAAUAUGCUGUGAAUGGAAUAAAGUUUAUUAAUUUGUUAAAAUGCACUUCAUUUUUGUGGUCCAUUUGAUGGGUUUCUUCUGAAAAAAUGUAAAAAGGUUUAUACUUUAACCGUUUUUGUGCAUCUUUUGGGCUAAAAAUUGUAGUCCAUUAACUGGUGUUUCAUGGCCUUCCUAAGAAUUAUUAUUACUUUAUCUGUCCUUGUUUAUCUAGUCAUUACAAUCAAUUAUCUAGUCCUUGUUUAUCAGUUUGUGAAUACUUUAUCUGGACUGCAGCUUUGGAGGACUGUAUUGAUGAUGCCGUUCAAACUUAUAACUGUCUUUAUUCACGAAGCUAGCCAUGCCAUUGCUUGCAAACUUACUUGUGGCCAUGUAAGAACUGAUUCUCUCUCUGUCAUAUUUUGAGUUUCGACUUGAAAGGAUACCCAAAAAUCUUGACCAUAGCGUGUAGAUUACUGAUUUGGCAACCUGGCAUUUGAGUACUAAGUGAAAGAUGGAUCCCAAAGUUCAUGGCAACUUGUUGCAGUAGUUACUUCGACCUUUUUGGCAACGCUGUGGUACAAUGUUACCAUGUUCAUCAUAUGAGGUUCCUGUGCUGGUCUAUAUAUGAUUUACCUGUAUGAGAAUAGUUGUGUGUGUUGCUAUUCAGGUGGAAGGGAUACAGGUUCAUGCUGAUGAAGGUGGCGCUACACAUACACGUGGUGGAGUAUACUGGUUUAUCCUGCCUGCUGGAUGUAAUUCCUCUCAUAUUCUUGAUAACGUCUUCUAACUCGAAAAUUGUAAGAUAUAGUCGUUGAUUAUGUAACAAUAUGAUGGAAUCAAAAUACGUUCUUUGGCUUCUACAGAUCUUGGUUCGUCAUUUUGGGGAAUGGUUUUGAUACUUGCUUCUACAAAUCUUCUUACAGCUAGAAUUGCUGCUGGAUGUUUAGCUGUAGCUUUAGUCAUUGUACUUUUUAUUGCAAAGAAUGUAAGUGAUUAAUGAUUUCAAUAAGUUUCUCUGUUAUGCAUAUGAUGCUGCAGCGGCUUUUGGACAUUGCAUGUUGCUCUUAGUUUCUAAGCCUAGAUCUGCAAAAUCUGCAUGGUGGGACUUUGCACCUGAAUGAGCUAAACUGAGAAUGAAAAGCAUGUCUUAAUGGUAAUGAGAGAACAUUGUCUGAAUUGAUUUUAGGAAGAUAGGAAUGUUGUUUAUUUGCAUGUACAGUAAGCAGGAAGCUUGUUCAUUGAUGAAAUUUGUGAUCAUUCGUCUCGUUUGCUUAUGAUUGCCCUUUAGAGUCAUCCAACCAUAUGUAAUCCACUAAUUAUGGCUAUUUUAUUGGUUAACAGUGGACACUUCGCGGGCUUUGUAUUGGUAAAACCUUUCAGAUCUGGCAGAUAUUCCAUCAUCUGGAACUUAAAAAAGUACUGAUCUUACUGAUAUCUUCGAUUCAAAUUAACAGGAUUUAUAAUUUUCAUUGUUAUUGUCUGGGUUCUGCAAGAAACAACAAGGAUUCGCAUUCUUCGGUACAUCAUCCUAUUCAUUGGUAUGUGUGUUUUCCUUGCAUUUCCUGCUUAAGAUAACUCAUGUAACUGCCCUAUCCUCCCCUGACCGUAGACACGCACAGAACUCAGAGAGAGACUUCUCCAUACUGUGGCGAUAUGACAUUUGAUUACUUUGUUUGGCAAAAUGCAGGUGUCAUGAACAGCUUGUUUUCCAUUUAUGGUAUGAUUUACACAUAUAGAAAACUCAUAACACGUGCACCAAAUGCUGGAUAAUUAUAGGUUCUCAUAUUGGAUUUUUGCAGACAUAUAUGGUGAUCUGAUAUCUCGUAGAGUCCACAUUAGUGAUGCUGAGAAGUUUGCUGAGGUGUGCCCAUGUCCUUGCAAUGGCGUUGGUUGGGGUGUCAUCUGGUGAGCAUAGUUGUUAGCACCCUGUAGGAACAUCAAUCAGAAGAUCUUUCUCCCUCACUAGUUUUAAAGUUUUUAGAUUGAUGUUACAUUGCUGACUUCAAUCAUUCAAAAAUUUCAUUUUCAGGGGAUUUAUUUCUUUGCUUUUUCUUUGUGCGGCUGCAUAUCUUGGUAUGGUGAUCCUGUCCUGAGGUAUGGCUAAAGCUCUAUAGAAGUUCUGAACACUUCACCAAAACUGCUUGCUACACAACAUAGACAUAAAACAAGUAAACAGGUGCAUAAUGCACACAUUGCAUUUACUGAUCAUAGAAUGCAGGAGAAAGUUUUAGAUAUCUUUUGUGCUUAUUCAUGUGCCAUGUUUCUAAUACUAUUUUGCUGGCUGGAUCUAUGCACACAUAUAUAGGCAGAGCUUAUUCCCUGCCAACAUUUGUAUUCACCAACUCUCCCAAAAGGUGCUAAUCCCCUUAGUAAAUUCCACUAACGUGAAAACACACUUUCUCCAAGGACAAGAGAAUGGGAGAAAAGCAGGGAUAGAAAGUUAGGGACCCUGCCAUUCAUAGGCAGAACUGUCAUGUUUCUGGGUUUUAUCUCCAUUUUGACAUGAGAUUUUUCUCCUGCAGCCUUGUCAAACCAACCCUUUAUAGACGCAAGUGACAACUGUGAGACAAAGGAGCAACACGGGUGCACUUCCAUGAAACUGUAGUACAGGGUCAAAUGCAGAUACAAGAUUCCAGAAUCAAGUUUAUACUCUUCUGGACCUCAUGAAGAAGCUCAAUAUCUGAUCUUUGAGGAACAUUCAUUGGAUACCGUAGCCGUGUUACAAAGUUAAUAUGCCAACAUUCUAGGGAACCACGAGUUGGUUGUUUGCCAAAUUGCUGUGCCUUGUAGCUUUCAUGAUGGAUUAUACUAAUUGUUUGACAUCAUAUGCCACGGGCUAGUUAUUAUCUCGUGUUUAUACAGAUGCAUAUUUAGAUGCAACUACAACAUAAUUAUUAAGUCUCUCGUGCUCUUUAUCUUCCGAACUUAGCGUUUUGUCUCCAUACUAACGUAUUUGCUAAUUUGAAUAUUGGAAAAAUCAUGCCAUUUCGAUAAAAACUAAUGCAAGGCGAAGAAAUACAAGGGAUCAAAUGUAUCAAAGGAGAAGAAUUUUCUUUUUCUUAACUUUGGGUGACAAGAAGAUCGCGAACUAAGACUCAGAACAGAACAAGGAACUUGAAAGUGACACCACUAGAAAACCUAGGGCAUUAAAUCUAGAUUGAGACUCUAUCAAAGACUUGGACAUCGGAUAUCAGAAUUUGCAGGCAUCUUGCAUGGAUAAUUUAAUAAAUUGACAAAUAAAGAUCCGAGAGGGCAUAAUAAUCUCAGCAGACAUUUUUGGCUUGAGAGCAGAACGAUACAGAUUGAGAACCAACAUUUCAUACUUUUCCACGAAACUCGGAACAUCUUCCAUACAACACAAGCACUGUACCAUCCAAGUAUAUAAUAUUCAGCAGUGAGAGGUUUGCCUGACGAUUCCAUUGCAAAGAAUUGAAAAACUUCUUCAACCAUUCAGAAUCCCAGAACAACCGCUAUAUAUUGAAAAGAAAGAAAACUCGUUGGCAAGCGUCACAAGUUCAGCAUAUUCUAAAACAUAAAUUUGAGCGUCAAAAUUUCAAAAGAGUUGCACCAAGUAGGAUCUUAAAGAUCUACACAAAAUAAUCUGGUACUAAAUCUAAGCUUCCGCCAUUGGGAACUCAAACACGACAUCUUUGCCAGAAAGCUUUCUGUAAACAGCAGCAAAGGUCUCUAGCUUGUAUUCUGUGUUGUUUCUUUCCUUGGGGUCCAAGAAAACCUGUCAAGAAAAGCAACAAAUAAGGGCUAAUCUUCUAAAUUUUGAUUAUUAAACAAACAUUAUACUGUACACCAUUACUGUGAACCAUACUCAUGCUCCACAAGAAGGAAAAGUGUCAAAAGCAAGAAAAGACUUCAUAAAUAAAAAUCAGAAAGCCUCCAAAGUAGAGUCUUUAUGUCAUACUUUUUAGAGUAAACGAAAGAUGCAUAUACACUUCAAGUCAAAGAAAAAUUAUGACAGUGACUACUUUUGACUGUCGUCAAUUGUGCAUCUAAUCCCACUACACCAAUUAACUUGAUCACUAAACAACCAAAAAACUGUACAGAGGUAUGCUAAUCAUUACCAAACACAUACCUUCAUUAUCUUAGAUCCAUCAAUGCGAUACCUAACACGCUUCCCAACAAUCUCAGCAGGGACAACAACAUCCUCUAGCAUGGCAUCAUGCACAGCAGUUAGAGUCCUGCUGCGGGGGCGCUGAACAGCAGAACCUUUCUUUGGGGGCCUCAGAAUCCUACGGGUUGCAAUCAAAAUCACAUCCUAGAAGUCAUAGUUCACAGUUAGGACGGCAUUACAGAAAGAGCUUCAAGUUAUGCACACACAAAUCAAAUGUUAUGGUUCAAUAAGCAACCCAGAAUGUUGUUCUUAUACAGUACAAAGAGAGGGAGUUAUGAUAAGGACAGCCACUUCAGAAGCACUCCAAAUUUUACAAAAUAUAGUAUAAUUAGAAAUAAAUGCUCGAACUCAUUAAUUAAUGCCCUCCACAACAAAACUUUUAUUAGUCAUAAAGCCUCGAGCCAAAAUGUAAGCUCAGAAAGAUGUUUAAUCAGUUCAAUUCCCUGACCUAGGAAGGUCUCAUAAUGAGCUGGAAUUAACACUUAUCAUCAUUGCCACAUCAUAUGAUCUAGUGGAGAAGAGAAUUGUUCCCACAAAGGUAUCAUACGUAUGUUGAGCAGUGAACAUAUAUGCACAAGACAAUGUUCAAGGAAAUAUGUGACUCACUCUGAAUGACCUAAAAUAUUUCAAGUAGAAAAAGAAAGGCAAAAUAAUACAGGUACCUUCCCACUGAACUUCUUCUCCAGCUCCCUGACAAGCCUAACGUGAAUCUUUCGGAAAGCUUUUCUCAGUCUGUAAGGCACAUGGAUUACAACAGCUUUCCUAUUUCCUGAGACAUCAAUUUGGCUGCAGAAAGACGACAAGGAAUUAAACAUCAGAACCAUUCAAAGGCCAAAUACCUUCAAGUGGCUGCAAAUAUUAAGCUAUUCUUACAUAGCUGAAUUGAUGUACAAAUCCUUCAAGUCACUUUUGAGCUCUUGGUUGGUGUUCUCCAAAUCAAACAAGGCCUGCAUUAGAAAGUUGUCAAAACCAGUAUGCCCAAAUGCACAACUAACAAAUUUGGCUUAGCAAAAAGCAAAAGAACCUGUGCCACAGACUCUUCAAAUUCUGAAGGUUCAGCAUCCUUAUCCUUGUGGAUCUUUUUCCUCGAUGUAUACAUCUUCACAGACCUAUUUGAAAUGAUUGAUUGCGAGUCACAAGUACAUUCAAAUGGAGAAAAGAAAACCAGUAUAAAAGAAGGAAGGUCCAUUCUUGUUCAGAGACUAUGUAGGAAAAUAGUCAAAUAUUGCCUAACAGAAGCAUUCAUGGAAGCACAAAAACGAGUAAGUGGGUUUACUUUUGCAUUUAGCUUUAGCUCAUCUACAACUAGUCAAGAUAACCGAAUAAGCUCCAGAUGAAGAUGUACAAAAAUCAUGAACUUGUCCUCUAAGUUUCAAAACAUAGGAUCUACUUAAAGAAUCACACUUGUCAGCCAUAACUUACGAACGGCCUUUUCUAAUAUAAUGAAAAACUAAGAGCACAAGCAAAAGUAAAAUGAAGUGCUCCAAAACAUCUUGGUAGCAGAAGAGACGCUGAAAUGCUCGUGUUUUGUGCAAAAAGAAAACAAGCCCAAGGAACUCUAACCUAAUUCUUAUAUCGUUCAAAAUAAGGCUUAAAAAUUUAAAUCAGCAUUCUGAGGCAACAAAAAAGAACUACUAAGUGUCACAUCCCACAUCAACAUCCGAACUUAAUCAGAUUAACAUUUUGCAACGAGUUCCAUUAAACGCCCGUAAGCACAAUUUCCCACACUUCCCCAGACAAACAAGCAACAAAAUAAAUGUAUUCAGUACCAGAUAUAAGAGCCGAAAUCAAACAUUACCCAGCCAUCCAGAAAUGUUUCAUCAAUUAACCCCAUGCAAUAAUAAAAGGCCCUAUUUUUCCACGUAAACAGAUAGAAUUAUCAUAGUUUCUCACCUAGUUUAACACUUUUCUCAACAAGCAAAAAUCAAAAGAAGCUCAACUUUUCUUCACGAAACAAACAUCAUUUACUUCUAAAUCAUUGGAUGUAACAAAAACAGAGUAGAGGGUCUCUUUUAUCUCAUCAUAAAACGUUAAUUUCCAUGCUUUCUCUUCUGCCAUCUUCUUCCCACCAGAGGAAAACCCAAAAAAUGGGGGCGUUGAUUCGAGAAAAAUAUGGUUUUGACCAAUCAAUAAAUUGAGGUUGAGAAGUUAUGUAGUACCUUCUGGGGAAGAGAAGAGAGAGAGCAGAUCUGCUAAUAAGCCGGAGGGAACGGCAAAGCCCAGCUCUUAUUCUGUCUUCAGAAGUGAAACUGAAAGAGAAGACUAGGGUUUAGAGGGAUGAUAUAUAUUCAUCUCUGGUGGAGAAUCAACGGUGGGGAUCGCGUGGGCUUUAGUGAGUAAGAAUGGAAGCAACUCAUGUGCCAUAUUUUGUGGAUGAGGAUGACGGAUGGUCCGAUUAUAUUUUUCCAAACACGCCCAAAGAAGUUUGAAUAGGUCCUAAUGCAAUAAUUGUGAGGCCCAGAAUGCGUUCAAGGUUUCCAAAAGUAGUUCCACAGUCUUGGAAGAGGCCCAAUUGCACAGGUUUUUUUUCAUAAUGGAUUUGGUGUUUUUUGGAAUUGAUCUCUAUUGGUUGUUUUUUUUUCCCCACUUUUCUUGAUGCAUAAGUAUAGUGGCCCUUAAAAUUUUCAUAUUGAUCGUUGUCCAUUGACAAAUUGCGUCCCUAAAAUGGUUAACCUCUCAAUGAUAUGGUAAAUUCGUUGAAGAUGAGUUAGUUAGAAAUGGUUAAUUGAGUUAUUGUUGUUUAACCAUUAUAUUAUAGUACCAUAUUGGGUCUCUUGAAAGGAUUAUGAAACUGCAAAUGUCGGAAAAAGAGUAAUUCAAAUGGCAGUGGCCAAAUGACAAGAAAAUUGUUAAUCAAGCAACAAGUGAGCAAUCACUAGGUCUUGGUCGAAGUAUUGGUCAGUGUUGAUUAGAGUUUCAAAAACAAAAAAAAAAAAAAGAAGAAAAAAAAGCAAAGAGUAGCAAGUGAACCAAUUGACGAAGCCCAUGUUUAUCUGGUUUUGUUCAAACCACUCAAGACAUCGUACUGGGGCUAUUUUGUUAACCAAACUUGCAAGUCCAAACCACUUAAUAACCCAUCUCACCCAUGGACAAAUCCACUUAAUGAACUAGGACAGUCCAAAUUCAGCAAAGGGAGACAAUGAAAAGAAAUGGAAAAGCCCAAGAGAGUUUUUUUUUUUUUUUGGCAGGGGCAGAAAAAAGAGGGGGUUGUGGUGGGAAUGCCUCCAUAUAAUAAAAUUUGAAUAUAUAAUGGACCAAUUUUGUGCUUUUAUGAAGCCUAACAUAAUAAUUUCUUUUUGGAGCCUCCCUCGAGCUAAACAACCAAAAGAAAAAGCCUAGAAACAAAUUGUCUCGUGAUAACGCAUAAAAACAUUAAAGAGGUACUCUAAAUCAGGUGGGAUUCUCGAUAUCACUAUUUGGUGUCAAAUCGAGUGUCAAUCUCACUUAUCAUGUAAGGGUAAAAGAAAAUUUGAAUUAAACCAAAUCAAUUUGAAUUAUUAAAAGAUUAAAGAGCACUUGACAAUUUAAAUAAAUAAGAUAGGUUGCAUAAAUAUAGAAGUCGCACUGAGUUGUCACUGAAAAGUGACACUGAAGAACCCACGCGACGACUGUAAAUAGCUAAUUAUUCCAACAACUCUUCUUGAUUGAUCAGGUCAAAUGAAUUUCUUCUUGCGAUUAUGAUUUCAUGGCAAGUUUCACAAGGAAAACUUCCUUUUCCACCAAAGCCAUGAGGAAACAAUAAGACCACUCAUGAAAAUCCAGAAAACCGAUCUUGGAGUCCACAAGAUCAUCAUGAAGAUAGAAAACAACAAUGCGCAAGUUGGCCACUGAGAAGACCUUCGAGAACUGCAUGCAUAUUCUUAGACGGAGUCACACUUCAGUCUGUCGUCUACAUUCUGACGCUUCUUCAGACAGAACACAAGCUGUGUAGUAGCACAUUGUAACAAAAGAUUAUUUCGUCUAGCAAAAUCAAAAUCUUUUGAAUGAGCUUUGCAAUUAUUACCUCGUAGAAAUUAAUUCGGCACGACAAUUCCUACAAGUUGAAACUGCGACGUCAGGAAAAAGCAGGUCCCAGUAUCCAAAAGUUCUUGCAGGGCACUAAAUGAGGCUGCCUGAAUCAGCAUUUUGACUAUAUUCGACACCAAAGCCUAGUCGUGUUAAUCGACUCUCACCCUUUCAUAUACUCCUUUUGUUUUUCUUUUCAUAGUAUAUGAUACCUAGUUUCGCAUGAUAUAAUGGUAUUACGCAAAUCUUAACCUACAAUCAUUCUUGUUAGGCAUGUAGAUGUACAACUCUAAACUGCAAAAUCCUGCCUCAUUCAACUUUGGGUCAAUAAAGAUGAUUUAAAUAAUAACUCAUCACGAGUCUAAAAGACCUAUGUCAUCAAGAUGAAACCGAAUGCAAAAUGAAUUGUUGCUAAUAAUUUCUUACCUCAAUAGCUCUUGCAAUUAGACCGACAAAAGCUUUAUCCGGGUUGACAUUGGAUUAGGAGGCUCUUCAUUCAUCUCUCCGUUUAUUCAUAUCUAGAUUAUUCAUAUGAUCUCUAUUGAUCUCUAGACCAAGAUUCUAAACAAUGAUAUUCUUCUGAAAAUAUUUUAGCAUUUGAUUUACAAAAAAAAAAAAUAUUUGAAUGGUGAAAAAUAGGUUAAAAUUGUAACAAAAUUCGUAACAAUUAAUCAAGUAGCAAACCCUAAUCAAUUUUAUGUAUAAGUAAAAGAAUUAAUGAAAUAUAUUAUGAACGGUGUUAUUUUUAAAUUAAUUUUUUGAGGUGUAACGGGGGAAAUUUUGUCUAAUUUAAUUCUUUUUAAAAAAAGUCUAGUCCGUUGACAUUCCUAUUUUUCUGAACAUUUUGGUUGGUUAGUAUGACUUCCAAAUGGGGUUGUUGGGGUUGACAAUUAAAUCGUUUUCCAAUUUUAUAUCUGAGUUCCAUUUAUGUUAUGACUUGUAAGGUCACACACAUGGUAUUCAACGAUCCAUCCUGAGCGUUAUCAUCUUUCCAAGUCAACUUUAGUUUAUUCUGAAAGUUUACGUGAAUAAAUUUUUUUUUUCAAACUCAUUUUGCGAGAUAACGUUGAAGGACAAAUAUUAGUGCAGCAGGUUCUGUAAGGUUUGAAUUCAAAGUAAUAUGUUGCAACAUAAAAAGUUCGAAAUAAUUUAAGUUACUUGAAGGCAUUAAUUAAUGCUCUAUGCCAAACGAUGGCUCAAUAUAAUAAAGUCAUGAUUUACUUUUACAUAACCGACCGACUUGUGGAGAAAUAUGCUAUUGCUAGCAUAAUGGUUGUGAUGUCGUUUCAAGAAUGUGAGCAUUGUGCAUGGCGGUUCGUUGCCAUUGGGUUAGUGUUUUGGCGAUAACGUUUGAGCGAUUUUUUUUUUACUUUCAUUUAUGUGUUCUUUUUUAAGAUUUAUUAUUUAAUGUCUCUACCUAUAUAAGAAUUCUACGCUUUUUGAUUGAGUUCAAAAUCAGUGGUUUUGAAAUGAGAAAUCUCAAAAUCAUAAUGUAUCCUAAUUCGACUAUUUCUAAGUCGAAACAUCCGAAUAUUUGACUGAAUUCUGACUUACUGAUUUCAAAUUUUUUUGAUCAAGUUUGAAAUCAGUGGUUUUGAAAUGAGAAAUCUCAAAAUCGUAAUGUAUUCUAAUUCAACUAUUUCUAAGUCGAAACAUCCGAAUAUUUGACUGAAUUCUGACUUACUGAUUUCAAAUUUUUUUGAUCAAGUUUGAAAUCAGUGGUUUUGAAAUGAGAAAUCUCAAAAUCGUAAUGUAUUCUAAUUCGACUAUUUCUAAGUCGAAACAUCUGAAUAUUUGACAGAAUUCUGACUUACUGAUUUCAAAUUUUUAAAUUCACUGAGUAAAGAAAAAACCCUUAAAUUCCUAAAGAAAAUAUUGGAAUACGUUGCCUAAAAAGGGUACAAUUGAAAUAUAAAAUAAGCUAUCAAAUGAAUUGAUCAUUAAUGAAAUUUCAGAAGUUGAUAACGGAGUCCAAAGAUUAUCAAGAAGAUAAAAAGCAGUAACGUGCAAGCUUGUCAUCAAGAAGACCUUCAACAACCGCAUGCAUGUUCUGAUUUUCCUUCAGAACAAAUUGCAAUGUGCUAAAACAUGCAAUAAGAUGCUCAGAAACGCUAGAUUUUUGUCUAGCAAUAUCAAUCCAUUGAGGGUCUGUUUGGUUGGAAGUAAAAUAUUUUCCUUGGGAAAAUAUUUUCCGUGGAAGUAAUUUUCCAUGAAAAUCAUUUCCCUUUCAUCAUUUUCAGGUGUUUGGUUAGCUUAUUGAAAAUAUUCUCUUACUUCAUUUUUCUGGUGUUUGUUUAACUUUUGAAAUAUUUUCACUUUUAUCUCUAUCUUUACUUUCUACACAUUAUAACUACAUACUUCUUCCCAUGCAAAAUAAGAAAAUUUAUCUCAUUGUUUAACUUUAAAAAAUCUUGGAGAAAUGUAUAUAUGAAUAAAAAAUAUCUCCUUAAGCAAUAAACAAAUCGCUGGCCAUUUAGUGUCAAAUAUCAAUCACAUGCAAUGCUUAUUGUGACAUAUAUCUUGCACUCUCACUGCUGAAAGUUUCUCUAGAAAAGAAUGUCCCUAUUAUGCAUAAUUAAUUACUAGCAUAGGAUAAGCAGGAUGAGGUUUUUUUUUUAUUUUGAAUAUACUAGGGGAGGGUUGGGUUGGGUUGGGUGGUACGGGGGAGGGAGUGUAAGAAAGAGAUUUUGGGUUCGAAUCCUCCUAUUUACACUAAAAAAAAAAAAGAACAUACUACAAGAUGUUUUCAGUAAGUUUGGAACAUACUACAGGCGGGAUGCAUGUAUUUCGGAAAACAACUUCAGUAAGUUUGGAAGGGGAGUUGUUUUCCAUAAGAUGGGUGAAAAUAUUUUACAUAUGAAAAUGUUUUCAGUAACUUUUGUGCAACCAAACACGGGAAAUUAGGAAAAUAUUUUCCUGGAAAACAUUUUCACCCGAAACAAACGGACCCUGAACGAGCUUUCAAAUCAUUACCACACAGAAAUUACUUUGGUAUGACAAUUCCUAAAGUUAAAAUUGCGACCUAGGGAAAAUAGCAAUGUAGACUACCCUUUGUUCCUCUCUUUCUGGUCCAAAAGUACUUGCAGGUCACCGAGUCAGGCUGCCUAAUUUGGUAUUUUGACUAGCCUCAUCGCGUUAAAUGACUCUUACUCCCUGAUCAUAUGCUCUUUUAAAUUUCCUUUUAGUCCCAUAUAAUAGUAAUAGAUGCAAUGAGCGUGACCCUAAUAACCUAAAGACCCCUGCAAAUUGAGUAAUACCUAUUUUAGCAUAUGAUAUAAUGGUACAAUUCCAAUUUAAACCUAAACCUACUACAAAAAAAUGAACCUUGAAUCAAAGUAGUAAGGCAUGUAAACACACUAUUCUAAUAAGUAACUGGUUGCAAAACCUACUUCUUUCCACUUCGGUUCAGUAAAAAAAAUUUAAAAAAAAAAAAAAAGUCAUAAAAGAUCUAUUCAUCGAGGAUGAAGCCAAAUCCAAAAUGAAAAUGUCCCUCGUGAUUUCUUAUCUCAACAUCCCGUCUAGUAGACCAACAAGGCUUUCUAGCUAGCCAUCUUGGUUGGCAACUCUGACGCACGCUUAUUUGUCUCCGCUUUUCACUUGUUUAGUACGAUUUCCAAAUGGUGAUUGGGGUUGACAUCGAUUAUUUUCCACUCAUAUAUGAUAUAUCUCCCCUUAGGUGUGUGUUGUGACUUGGAAAGGUCAAAGAUAGUAUUCAGCCGUCCCAACACAAAUGCUGUCCUCUUUCAAUGUCACCUCUUUAGUUUUUCCAAUGCCCAUAGAGGAAAAAGUUGUGAAAUUCAGACGGGACAAUAUGGUAGUUGGCUUUAAUAGUUUAAAGUCGUAGUCUUUGCUUGCAAGAAAAAAACUUUGAAUUUGUUUCAGUUUCUUAAAUUGUUCAUAUUGAAUACGAAUUAAUCCUUUUUACACUCAUAAGGUAUACAUAAGGAGUCUAACUGCACUGCAAGAUGCACAAAAUUUGGAAUUCAAAUUUAAAUAUGACGUGCAUGCAUCUCUUCUAGGCGCAUUAAUAUAUAUGAAAGAUCAAUCAUUUGAAUAUUUACUUGACAUUCUAAUUUCCUCAUAAUAUCUAGUAAAAACGUUUCUUUUAUUUGAUAAAACCUUCGAAAACUUAAUAAAGUUUGCUCAACCAAAAGGAAAUUAAACUCCUUUUUUGAAGUCAUGAUUUCCUCCCACUUAAAAUUGCAUGUGGACCAUAUGGAAUUAUAUGAAGGUUCCCAGGAGCAGCAGGAGGGCAGUAAUAGAAGAAAGUCAAUUUCUCCAUUCAUGCAUCUUAACUCGGAUCCACCGACUUCUGUGAAGAAAUCUUUGUGUUGCUGCAGAAGGUUGUUUCAAGAAAUGUGAAAACGUGAUGGCUUUUCGUUGCUUUUGGGCUUCAGAAGAUUGUGAGCACUAAAAAGUAAAAACUGCAGAAGAAGACGGAUCAUGAGAGUUCAGUCUUAUCACGGAUUUGGGAUUGCGACAAUAGAAUGAAGUAGGUUAUUCGAAACCCACGAGGGAGCCGCUUCGGCAAUUCCAUUUUUAUUAUAUUACACACAAUUUGUCCGUGCAGCUUAGUGGCCGAGAAGAUGAAACGUCGGCAUUCUUAUUUGCUAGCAUUAAUUUUGAUAGUUUGAAGGAUAAUAUCAGAAACCUCCCUCCUGAGGUUCUUCUUAAUAUCACUUAACUCUUUCAAAGUUUUUAAAAUAUCACUAGUACCAAUUCAUUUUAUAUGUUCAAAUUUGAUUUUUUAUGAGCCUGAUUUUUUUCCACCAACCUCUUCUCGAUCGACCCAUGGCCAAACUUUUAGAUUGUGCUAAAUCAUUAUAAAAAUCAGAUUAAAAUAAAUAUAAAAAUCAUACGCCACUCUAUUAUAAUUACAAAAUGAAAAAGGCGAACAAAAUUCAAUUUACUAUAAUUUACAAAUAAAAGAUAGCAUGGUUAUCCAAAAAAAUGAGUCAGAAAGAGUGUUGAAGAAAGGCAAAAAGAGAAUCAAGAAAGUGACUUUUGUUUCUUUUUCUUUAAUUUUUUAAGCUUCAUCUCUUUGAUAUGUGAAUUAUGUAUCGAAUGAGGGUUAAUAUAAUCAUUUUACAAUUAUUAGGAGGACGUAAGUGAUUAAUUUAAAACCUCACAAGCGAUAGGUGAUAUUAGGAGAAACCUCAAUGGAGGUUUUUGAUAUUAUCCCUAGUUUGAAAUCACCUAAGAAGAAAAUGGUAAAUUGUUGUUUGAUCUUUACACCAUCGCUGGGGGACUUUUCACAAUUCUCAAUACUUUGGAAUCUUGAAGAUGUGUUUGUUUAACGUGAUAUUAGUCUAAAGAAAUUUUUGUGCGUUGUGAAAUGAGACAGUAGAAUGUAACAAGCAUGAUCAACGUUUUUACCGUUUAUUAUUGUUUUCACCUACAUGAUGUUGUUGGUAGAGUAAUUGUUACCUGUUUUCUAAUCUUUCACUCCACAAGUCCACUAUAGACUAAGUCGAUUUUUAAUUUGUGACCCAUGGUCAUGCAGAAAUGUCACCAAAUUCAAUUCAAAUCAAAUCUAAACUUUGGUGGGUCAUCAUCCUAUUCCAGUGAAAGCUACCUCAUUCCAUAUUUGAGAUUUUUCUAAUUCUGGGAACCCGAUUCUCCAUGGUUUUAUUCUACAACGAACAAGGAUUGAUUUGUCAAUUUUUCUCCAGUGCUGGCAGCCACCUAUCCUUUUCAACAUCUACCAGUCCAACUUGACCAUUAUCAGUUAUCAAGAUCAAGAUCAACUUUUAAUAGCUUGAAAACAAGAAAGACACUGAAAACGUGAUUUGUGAAUGCAAAUAAAAAAAAUCGAAAUGAAGUUGUUUGUGAAAAAUCACUUGACCUUUUUGGUUAGAUUAGAUAAGAUGGAUGGGAUCAACGAUUGCUUUAGCCUUAAGGGUGCCUCUCAGCUUUCUGCUUGCCAAUGAGCAUUCUCCACUAAUGCAUGACGAUUGAUAAUACUAAUAAUCUAUGGAUUACCUGAAUAUAUUGGUCCAACUUACUAUUCGGUAGCAAAGAAUAGGAAUUUUAUUAAUUAGAUUGUUGAAAAUCGUCCAGCACAAUUCAUUUGACAAAAUUUGGAAAAAAAAUUUCACAGGGGUCAACAAUUAAUGUCUUCUGAUUUACUGUUAAAACUUAAAAGCCAACCGCAAGAUGCAAUAUUUUCAUCAACUCCAAAUGGUUGCAAAAGCUACUCAGCAAAUGAAACAUGUAAGCAACAUCGGCUUCUCCGUGCAUCUAACGUGCUAGGUCUGGUUGGAGCGCUGGGCCGGGCCGAAGUGGGAUUAGUCGGGCCGCCUUUACGGACUUGACCCGGACACCCACUCCGUCGACAAAAAAAAAAAAAAAAAAAAAAAUAUGAAACAUGUAAGCAAUUAGUUAAGACGAACUAAACUAGCUUUCGUAUACUUUGACAGAAUAUUAACUUACCAAACGAAAAGUCUGUGGUUACUAAGUAGUGCACACGUGGUGCAAUGAGUGCCGGUAAUACAUAGCCUCCAGUGAAGGCCUUUUUUUUUUUUUUGUCGCCUAGCAGCGAAGAAUUAUACUACGGCUGUAGAAACUUACACCAUUUCAAUCAUCAAUAUCUUGGGAAAUUUUGAAAAAAGAAAAUAAGGCGAUUAAAAAUUCAUAAGUAGGAUAUGACUAUUAAAAAUUUUUAAAAUGAAAUAUGGAUUACCGUUCAGAAAUUGUAAAAAAAAAAAACAUCAUACAUGCAUAAUUUAGUAUACAUAUGUGCACAUAUAUGGGUUUGAACAUGCACAUUCACACACACACACAUAUAUAUAUAUAUAUAUUUAUGUGCGCGCAUCAAAAUGCAAAUUUUUAUUUAUUAAGUUGAGUAACCGUGCAGUGUUAUUGAACAGGGUACACAUUAUUACAAGGGUGGUCUAGUCAUUUAAUGGUAAAUUUAUUACCUAUUUAAAUGUGCGAAUAAUAACCCAUUCCCAUUCACAAAUCUAUCAAUAGACAAGCUACACUCUUCUUAAUUAUGACUAUUUCAUUUUCCUAUUCCCAUUUUUCAAAAAUUUCCGAGUAAUUUUACCAAUUGUGUUCCAAUUACAGUUCAAGACGCGUCACUCUGAAUCUCUCAUACGAAUUACUGAGUCUAUUACGGUGAAAUACUAAUUAAUUGCCUGAUAUGAUAUAAUCAUCAGUCAUCACUCGCUUUUCUUGGUUAGUACAUCUUUCAUUCUUUACAGAAUUAUUCGCCGCAAAUGAAGUACAUAUUCAAACGAAUAUUAGACUAAAAUUACAGCGGUUUCUCCACUUAAAAUCUAGAUUGAUAGUACUUCAUGUUGUCACAUUAACGCUCCAUAGCUUCAAAUUUCAAGCAUCAUUAUUAAGUUGGUAUGUUCUUCACCAGCAAGCUUAUCUGUUAUUGGUGUUUUAAGAUGACGUAUCACUGGAAGUCAAAAUAUAACUAUCAAACAGUAAAGAAAUUGUGUUUUUUUUCAAAACAAAAAGUCAAUGGUUGGAAAGGAGCUCGGUGUGUUAUUUGAAUACUUCAAACGAGAUUCGGGUUGAACUGGAUCGAUUUUCUAAUUUAUCUAAUUUUGACAUGGUUCAGUACUACUUUUCCACACUCCACAUUCGAGGGAUUCGAGUGGAGAGGUGAAAAAAGAACGGCAAGGUUAGGAGAGAACGAAAAAGAGGACCAGGGAGUUGAAACUUUAAGUGUAAAAUUAUACAAACAUUGAUAUUGGCACUUAGUUAAGAGGCCAACAGUCUUCCAUUCUUAAUUAUUUGAUUGAGCGCAUUUUCUUUCGUGUGAUUAAUUACUUGAGAUAUAAUAGGUUUUUUUGUUAUACUCUAACUUGAAUUUAGCCAAAUUUUGGCUAAAUUUCAUUUUGGUCCUUUAAACUAUUGAACCACUUUCAUUUUAUUCCUUUACUUCAAUUUUGGAUAUUUUAUUCUCUAAAGUAUGAAAUCCGUCCUGUUUUAGUUCUUAAACUUUGAGAAUCGUUUACUUGUCAUUCUGUUAGUUUUGACAAUUUUAUGAGAUUGAUUUCAUACUUUAAGGAAUACAAUAUUCAAGUGAAGUUUACGAACUAAAAUGUGAUAGAUUCCAUAUGUAACCUAUAAGUACAAAGACCAAAGUGAGAGACUGCAUCUUUAGUUUAAGCAGCCAAAGUAGAAUUUGCCCAAAUUUCUGACCUAAGUUGUUGACAUAGUGUGUUUUGAUCUGCACGCUUAGAUCACAUAAAACAAGUUUUAGCCCAAAAGAUAGACCAUCAAUAAUUGCAAUUCGUAAAUUUAAACCCGUAAAGACAAAUAAUUUAUGUUAGUCCACCAUGAAGGAGUGGUUUGCAGAAGUGCUUGUGUUGGACCAUUGGUUGGAUAAUUCAAUUCCAGGGCUUAACGUGUUAUUUCAUGGCCAUUUGGCUAGGUGAAUUGUUAUAUAUAAGAUGAACUAUAUAUAUAUAUGAGCCAUUGAACACGGUCGUCACUUAACCCAUGUUUAAUAAUCCAAUUCAAUUCAUCACUUCAGAUCUUAACAUAUUCAGACGCGUUUAAUAAUAAAAAAUUGAACAUCAUUAAGUGACACUAAAUUUUCUAGGCAAAACUUGCUCUCAAAAUUAAGUGAUAAGUUAUUCACUUAUCACUGAAUGUAAUAUAAACUCAAAUAUAUUAGAUUUAAUACUUAAUAAUUAAAUGGAUUCAGACUUCAAGAUUUCAGACUUCAAUUUUAUCAGACGCACCUUUACUUUGGAGGCAGACACAAUUCAAACAUACAUAUUGCUUUUUUUUUUCUAGCAGAAAAUAGAAUGUAUAUUAUUCCAACCAAAUCCUCUAAACUUCACAUGCAUCAUGUAAUGAUGAUUUAUUUGCAUCAAAGUUUGUGAUUAACGUGAUGUCACAAUUAAUCAUUAGUUAGACCACGAUGUUGACUAUCCCCAUUAACGAAAUUCGUGAGGUAACAUGUGCAAUGUUCGCCGCGCCAAAGCAAAUAAAAAACACAGGCCAAACCAAGGAAAAAAAAAAACCACUCACAUACUUAAUUCCAAUCUUUUCAAACUCGAAUGUGUUCACAAGCCGAAUUCUUAAAGAUAUUGUAACUUCGGACUUUUUCUUCGUUCUUCUUAUUAUCACACCAAAUUUCUCCGUCGUGGUUAUCGUUCUGGAAAGCCUUUCAUUUUUCAAAGAAUGCGGAGUCUGCGGGAAAAAAAAAAGUCUCUUAUGUAGUGGAGGUGGUGAUGAUGAUUACCGGAAAUGAGAUCCUUGUUUCCUAGGAUUGGUCCCAGGAACCUAAAUAAUGAAGUUGGGAAGCAUUAUCUUACGUACUAACAUAUGAUUGAGACUUUAACAACAGUUAUAAGUUAGCUACGUAUCCGUCCAGUGAUUGCUGAGAACUCUUAAAAUUCUCUCUAUUGCCAGUUUUAGAAUCUGAAUUUUAGUUUUUAAGUUCACAUUUGAAAUCUACGUUUAAUAGUUAAGGUUAGGAAAUCACUGGGAUUGGUCUAGUAAUUCGGAAAAACUCUUCAGGAUUUGAAUUCUAGUUUUUAAGUUUAGGAUCCGAAACCUAAACUUAACCAUUGAGGUUAGGAACUAGGAAGGGUGAGAGGUAAAUAAAAAGGAAAAAAAAAAAAAACGUAUCACUUGUCGUGGGGCUGUUAGGACUCAAGAUUGUGAUCAAACAUUGCUACUUGACAACAUACCAAAAUUUGAUUGUUGGCUAAAAGACAGAGAGUAAAAAAUUUCUAAAAUAAAACCGAGAGACAAUUCAGAUAAUUUAUUUAGAUGAGUGGGAGUAGUUCAAUAUCAACUGGUUUUAAUUGUUGAAUUUUGCUAAAUAAGACUUUCUCUUUAUAUAUAUUUUUUAAAAAGCUGGUUAUAACUGGGCAGGAAUUGAAACUGGCACCCGUUUCCAGAAAAAAAUUAUGAUUUAUUGAUUCUUACCAAGUCAACUGAGAUUGUUACACUAAAAUGUGCUUUAGUUCCCAAAAUCCCGCAAACUAGUAAUUUCCCUGCUCGUGGAUGAAAAUCUUUGAUUGAAACUUGGUAAAUAUGAAUAGUAGCCGGAAGAGGGAAAAAACUUAAAUAAGACAAUAACCACAAUAAUCAAAUGAAGCACAAAUAAAGCAGCCUAUCUCUCCCUCUCUCUCUCUCUCCAAAAUUAGCUCAAUUUGCCUACAUAUCAUUGUUCAUAAUUCUUUUUCUUUUUUUUUGAUUAAAUCUUAUAUACACUGACAGUGUAUACACUAUCAUCAUUGGAUUUAUGAUACGUGUACAAAAGUUGAAUUUCAAAUUCAAAUUUUGUAUAGUUUUGUAUACAUUGUCAGUGUAGAAAAGAUUAAUCCUUUUUUUUUACUCCCAAUCAUGUAUAUAACAAUUAUUUAGAAAAAAAAACAAUUAUUUACUCCCAAUCUUGAAAGAUUAAUCCUUUUUUUUUUUUUGCUCCCAAUCUUGAAUAUAACAAUUAUUUAGAAAAAAAAACUUACUUUGAAAGAACAGUUCUACAAUUCCUAUACAAAUUAUUUCUCCCAAUCUUAUUUUAUACACAUAAUGCAAAACAGACAACCCACAUGUGUUACGGGAUUUUUGGACUCUCUGCUUAAUGUCCAAAGCUCGAAAGGAAUCUCCAAAUCAUCAGUGAAGUCUUUCUGUCUAAAUCUGUAUUCUACAUUUAAUCGUCCUCAUCUUGUAUGUUGCGUAAAGAAAAAUAUCACUCUGCUUAAAAAAUAUCUAAUCAUCCCUAUAAACGACAAAUUUGCUUUACUGGGAUUAUUUCACGAUCAAAUCUGAGUGCAUCUUUCUUGCGAUUGCUUCAAUUGCCAGAGAUCAUCCAUAUUCCACAAGCAACAUCCCAGAUCAUCACUCAGCCAAUUGUUUUGUGCACAGUAGUUAUCACCAGCUGGCCCUGUAGAGCCGCCCAUCGCUGUAACAGGUGCUGCUGAGCUCAAAUUUUCCAUAUCUUGAUAACUAGUGCUGUCAACAUUGUAAAAUUCAUUUUGAGAAUGACCAUAGGAAUUGUUGGGAGCCAUGUCAUAAAAGGGAUUUUCUAUGUAUUCGGAAAAUUGAGGGACCGGAGAGAUAUUCGUGGAUUCUGAUGAAGACAUGCUUGAUGGGCUGCUGCUAAUCAUGUUUCUCUGAUGAUUAUCCGGAAAACUGUAUGGUAACUGUUGCGGUUGUUUUGCUGCCAGUGAACUGCUAACUGCUGCCUGAAUUUCAGCUAAAUUGUCAUGUUCUGAUGAGUCCCAAUAUGCUAUAUUUCCUUGUACCUUUUGAAGCAACCGAGGAAUCCAGACACGGCGAACUAGUUCUUGAAACUCACUGCUGUUGGAGUCUAUCUUCAGAUGGCGGGCCUGCUUUUGUACUCUUGUUCUCCAGUAGUUCUUGAUUUCAUUAUCUGUUCUUCCCGGAAGAUGUUGUGCAAUCUUUGACCACCUUCAUUAUCAUUUAUGAGAAACAAAUUAGCUUCAUCGGCGUCCAAAUUCAGUAUUAGGAAGCAAAUUGAAUUUGAAUCGUGUCCUUUUAAUUUUCUUUACAUCCGAGUACAACUUCAACUUCAGAAUCCAAAAUCAUAUGGGACUGGACAAGUAUGAAUGCAGAAGGUGAAACAUGCAAUGGUAGGGAUGAGGAUGCAAAUUCGGGCCCAAAUCUGCACAAAUUUCAUCUAAACAGACUUAAAAGUGUGCAUUUGAGCGCAAAAAGCCAAUUACCAAAUGAAUACCUGUUGCCCCACUUGGAAUGAAGCUCAAGAAUCAAGAGCUGUUCCUCUGGACUAAGAUUUCCUCGUUUAACAUCCGGUUUAAGAUAGUUGAGCCAUCUCAAUCUACAACUCUUGCCAGUUCUAUUCAAUCCUAUGUGUACACAACACGAAAUUUCAGCAAAACUGUACAGUUGAAACUUUGGAUGAAAAGAAACAUUGAUUUUGUGCUCAGCUUUCGUGGCAACGAACAUAUGUGCUUACCUGAACGUUUCGCUAGCAAGUUCCAUCGGCCUUCACCAUGAGCAGCAAUGUAAUGAACAAGAAGAGAAUCUUCUUCAACAGUCCAGGGACCUCUCCUGAGCUCACCACCUGCGGCAUCAUCAUCACUACAACUGCUUGUAGUUGUACUCUUAGACAGGGAACACAUGGCUGGCUUCUAUUUUGAGUAGGGUACCGAGAAUUUUGAGGAAUUUCAAGACAAACUGAUAAUUGGGCUUACGAGUCUAAGCUUUGAAGGCGAAGCACUGACGCAACAGCAGCAAAUCCAUGAUUUAUAAGGUACGAGGUCUUAGUACUCUAACCCACUGUUCACAUGUUACUUUUCAAAGGAAGUAGCCGCGAAAGCAGACUUUAUAAUGCACAGCUUCUUUUCUUUUCCCUAUUCUGUUUUUUUUUGGUCAUUGUAGCAUAGGAUUUCUAUUGGAAUUUUUACUCUCCUUUAGAAUUUCAACCAGUCAAAACAUAAGAAAUCACUGGAAUAUUGUACCUAUAACAUCGCCCACAAGCAGAAUUCCAGGGUAAUUUUUCUUUUAUUCUUCUACAUCGAGAAAAUUAAGGACUGAAAUAGGGGUGGCCAUGGUUUAGGUUUAAACCAAAAUCGGACCGAAAUUAGCUCGAAGGUUUGUUGAAUUAGGUUUUGGAAACCGAAACCGAAAUCAUAACCAUGACUAAAGGUUCAAGUUUAGAUUCACUAAAAUUUUGAACCAGAACCGGCGGUUUAGAAUCUGUUCAAAUCGUCUAAAAAAAAUAUUUACUACUUAAACCUGUUUGUCUUGUUUAGAGUCCAAUAUCAAUAGUUAGCACCUAAUACCAGUAAUUAAAGUCCUAAUCUAAUAAUUUACUGUCCCAUUCUUUUAGUAAAUCUAUAAUCAAUGAUUAAUCUAAAUCUAAAACCAAUCUAAUCUAAUCAAUAAUGCGAUAUUUUUCAAAAAAUUUACACAUUUUUUCUUUUUCAUCGCACAUGAUAAUGCAAUAAACACACACACACACACACACACACACACACAUAUAUAUAUAGGAGUUCAAAUAUCGCAACCGUAACCGUCCCUCUGUGGGCUAAUUCAAGUUCUACCUUUCUAAAGAAUCGAAACCCUUGGUUUUUAAAUUGGAACCAACGGUUUUGGAAUCGUGACCAUGUCUAGAUUGAAAUAUGAAAAUAGUUGUGCUUUUAGUAGAGAUCCACCAUAUGCCAAUAUAGAGUAGUACAAUUCCUUUUCUUUUUUUUUUUUUGCUUUUUAGUAUAAUUGAAAAGGUCUCGAACUCGAGAUUUUUCACUUACACUUCCUUCUUCCCAUACCACCUAACCCUUUCCUCCCCCUAAUAUAAUAUGUGUCUGUGUAUGUUUUUUUUUUUUUUAAAUAAUGUGUUUUGAAUAUAAUUUUCAAACAUUUUUUUUAUUUUAAUUCUAGCAAAACUUUAUAUUUUACAAUAUGAAGAUACCUAAUAUUUUCCCCUAUGUAGUGAAGUUGAGAACUAAAGCUUUACAUGCACUUUUAAUGGAAUACAAUAAUCUUUUAGAGGCAAUUAAAAUCCCAGCAUGCCACCUUAAAGAAAAUCUCAAUAUGCCAUCCCCGUAAGUAACACAGAGUAUCAAUAUCAAGGAACAAAAGUAGGGUCGAUUAAGGUGGCCGGAUCAGGACUUUUACCUUGUAAAGUAAAUGAUCAAAAUAGCUUUUGGUCUUCUUCAAUAUGGUAAAGUCGAGCUCAAACCAUUUUCUUGAAAAGAAAAUAGGAGGAAUAGGGUGAUUUUGCGAAAUUGUUAAAUCAGCUUAGAUACCACGAGGCUUGGGGUUCCUUUUUAAUUACAUCAUAGGUCUACUAAAAAAUAAUUCUCUAGUCCUAAAGUUCCUACAUGGAAAAAAAGAUAAUACCCACCGUUAUCAAUGAAGAGCUAGAUCAUCAAAGAAAAGGCAGUUUUGACAAAGAAAUUGAAGGCAACACAGCAUUCUUGACAAUGACAAUUACAAAACCUUGAAUCGAUCAUUAGAAGGAAUUAGUUUUUAAAAACUUCCGCGGUUUGUCAUUUCUAGUUUCUUCCAAUUAUAAAAAACGUACUUGACUAACCAAGAUGAAACCCUGAAUCAAAACCAAAACGUGGGUUAAUUUAUGUCCGUCUAACUGAUAGGGGCGGCAACCAUAUUUCUAGGCAUCUAGCUUUUGCUUGGAAUCUUAAAACACAGUUCCCUUUUCCAAUUGCAUGGCUGUCAUCUGAUUUUCUGUCAAUUUUGCUUAAGAGUUGUAGUUUUCUUUUUCAAGCAGAAGUGGUACGUUUUUUAAGUAUUUGGUACUUGACUUCUGGUUUCUCCAGAAUACAUCCAUUUUGGAAACACGCGAGGAGUUGGACAAUUGUAAGAGGCUGCUAAUGCUUAAUGCAGCUAAAUUUGACUUUUAUAACCUACAUCUUGCCUCCAAUGCAUGUUUCGGGUUGAUGACUCCUUGAAUAUCAGGAAUCCCUUGGAUGCGAUGCUCAUGAAGGUUCUUGCAUUCUCUUAUUCUCUGCUGAUAUGCUCUUGCCAUAAUAAUAAUAAUAUUCAGCCUUCUUUUAAUGGAAGCCAAUUGUUUUAGUGACGGUAUUAUUUCUGCCAUAAAUGCAAUUACUACUAGUAUUUCACGUUGAGAGCCCGAGUACAGGUCACAUACUAUUCGCAGAAGGGCUGCAAUUCGUCAAGAUUCAGGGCAAAUAGAAUAUAAACAUCUGACGACAAUCCUAAAGGAAUAUAUAUAAAGAAUGAGCUGAUUCUAUGCUUCUAGAUGCCAUUCAAUGCUUCAUACAAAGCUACUAUAUCCAGCGCAGUACAACUUUGGAGUCUCCUGAUUCUAGUCAAGGUUAUGUUAACUUAAUAACUUAAAAACAAAAAAAAAAAAAAAAAGAGAAAGGAAGAAAAACAAUUAGGACAUGCUAGUGCAAAGCAAUCAAAUUCUCACGUUUUUUUUUUAGAAAUUUUCAAUAAUAAUAAUAAUAAAAGAAUUCCUCAUGUUUCCUCGAUCUUACUUGAGAGUCAGCGAUUGGAAUUAUUCGGUUGGACUGAUGGAAGCGGGUCGUGGUUCUCUUCAUUGCAUUUCUAUUUUUAAUUUCGUACCACUUUUUACUUAUAAUUUAUUUUUGGUAAGACAACAUGCUCCCCCCCCUUCACAACUCAGGAAGAAGAAUAAUUGGACUUACGUAGCAGUUAGCACAACAUUCUUUUUUUUUUUUUUGUUUUUGCUUUUUUUAAUUGAGGAGGAGAACUUAUCAAUUAUCAUCAUCGUAGUGGUACUUGUGACUUCUACACCUAGCCAUUGAUAUCAGCUUAGAAACAAAAAAUUUUUUUUUUUAACCGUAAAUCAAAUUUAACAACUAGUUUGCCAGUCAAUAAUAUUUGAUGAGAAAAGAAAAAAAAAAGUGAGAGAAAUGGAACAUUUCAUCAUUUAGCCAGUUUUUUCAAGAUUAAAAAAAAAGGGCUUGAUUUGGACGAGUUGAUUAUAAUUUUAAAAGCUUUCCGCCCAUUUAUGGACUGAUUUGGACAAAAAAUUGGAGAAAGCCUUAUACAAUUUUUUCAAAUACUAAUAAUGCAUUCCUUAGAUGACCACUAAACAAAAUUUCAAUAGCGUAUAUACAUCUCUUCUCUUUCUUUUCUUAUUUGUCCCUUUUUUUCCUUCUCUCUCAUAAAAUUUUCUCUUCUUUUCUUUUCUAUCCUGAACUCCCAAACUGGCCGUGAGUGAGAACUGUCAUCUACUUAUCCAUUACCCGCAAAAAAAAAAAAAAAAAAAGCCUGUAACUGGUUAGUCUUAAAGCUGAGUUGUUGGACACUUGGACUCAAGAGCCCAAGACUUCUCUCCCCACAAAACUAUGUUGUGGUUGGUAAUUCUAGAAUAGAUUAUUAGUUCCCUCAAGUUGAGAAGUCCAGCAGAGCCUAUUUUAAUACAAGCCAGGGUAUGAAUGGAAGAAUGAUGGAUGACCGGAUAAGAUUACUUAAUAUACUACUACUAUUAUUAAUCUUUCAGAAGAAUUUAAGAAGAACAGAAAGGCAAAGAUAUUUAUAUCAUAUCAAAUUCCAAUUGGCUCAGAAGAAAGAUAGCAAAAACAGCUUUGACUUCAUUUCAACACGAUGGCCAUCACCUCCAAUUACGUUGCGUUACGUUUCCAAAUGUUGUCUUGUGAUUUAUUGGUUUGGUAUCGAAGUGCAACUCUGAUCUUCCAGAAGUUUGGACUUUUUUUUUUUCCUUCUUUAAUUGAUUUUCUACGUCAUUUGUAUAUCUCCUUUUUUUUUUUUUUUUUGUUUAUUCGCAUUUCUCAGUAAUUUCUCUCUCAAUUUGUACGGUCCGCAACUAUAUAUAAUAUAACUAAAUUAAAUAUUUUUUUUUGGGAUAGAAAAUGCAAAACCAAUAAUAUGUUAUUAAUGAGUUGGGUAGAAAUCGUUCAGGACAAUUUGCUUGACAAAAUCAUGGAAACUCGAUAGAGAGAUUCAGUCUAAAUCAAAUAGUUUUGGGACUUCAUGAUUGUUGAAACUUCACCAGAAAAUUGAUGUUAGAAAUUUUAACAGAAUUUGAUAGGUGAAAGAAACCUAUUGUUCCAAUACCACGUGAAUAAUUGGAUUAGAUUAAUAAUUUUCGAAUAUAAGUAGGCGUAAUCCUGACAAAAUUUGCCAGGUUUCAAUUUUCGAAUAUAAAUGCUCACAAAAUCUUAAUUUAUUUAUUUUUAUGGGAUAUCGUUAAAAUCAUAAUCUUAGCCGCUGGAAACAUUUGCUUUAUACAGAACUAUAUAUAUAUAUAGUACAUAUUAAACAAAACGAGUUAUUGUUAUCUUUGAAAGUUUACAUAGUAGAGAUCGAGACUCCACCAGUCAUUUCAAACAAUCAUGAAAUAUGACUAGGAAUGUUGAAGAUUUGAUUAGUAGCUAGGAAGAAAGGAUGGCCUGGCCUGGAGUCUCAAGUCAGAAGUUGUACAAAGACCACAAGAAGACCACGCAAUCCAUGGAUGAAGAUUAGCAAUUUCUUUCUUUCUUUCUUUUUUUUCUUCUAACACCAAUUGGAUGAAGAUAAUGAAGUUUAAGGAUGAGAGUCAAGAUAAUCAAUCAUGCGCGAUCAAUGGCGCAAUCGUGAUUGUAUUACUUGAGAACUAAAUGAAAUCAAUGACAAAAUACUGCACUGUUUCCUUAUAGUGACUGUGUCAUCACAAGAAAAUAAGUUGUAUACGGCAAGAAUUUGUUAAUUCUGAGAUUAUCUUGAUGCAGAUGGCCAAAUUCUGACACUACGUACAUGGCCAAUUUCUUUGUUUUUUUUUUUUUUUUUUAAAAAAAUUUUUUUUGUUGAUGUCAAAUUCCUGCAUUUGCACAAUUGCACAUUAAUUGGCUUAUAUCAAAUUGAACAAUUCCACGUUUGGUUUUUUCAAUUUCUAUUCAAGUCCACCAGGCAUGCCUGAGGUCUUCUCUGUUUCUUUGAAGGAGGUAACCGGUGCGAAGUGAAAAAGGAGGACCUCUGGGCUUUGAUGAGAGAAUCAUUCAAGUAUUACCAGCAAAUUAAAACGAAAAUGACGAGCAAAGAAAAAUCAAACGGAUGGACCUAGCUCUCAAAAUAUGCAUAACUUAGGUGGUUAUGGAUAUGGUAAACAAAAUCAAUGGUAAAAGGGAUCUGCUUCAGAGAAAAUUCAAAUGAAGAAAGUUGCAUGUGGUUUCUAACUUUCUAAUAGGGAGGUGCGAACUUCUUAAACUCUAGCGGCUGCUUCCAUGAACUAAAUUUUAGAGGAAAAAAAAAAAAACUCUUAUCAUCUAAAACUCUUCCAUCAUGCAGACAAUUAUAUAUCCCAUGUUUACUUUUACAAAUGAUUAUCAAGUCUCUCAGCUACUGCCCCUCAUCAAGAAGCAAAAUCCUACAGGAAAUGGAGUUCUGUUGAGCCCAUGGUUCAAAGUCACGGUCGCAGUCGCGGUCGUGGCCCGGAACGUUCUAUAUUGGUCUCGGCAUAUCGGUCGCGGUCUCGGUGAGACGCAAAUUUUAAAGUAUUUAAUAUUCUAAAAAUUGUUAAUAAUAUAAAAAAGUAUGCUAAAUAAAAAUAAUUAAAAAUAGCAAAAGAAACGGCCAAGUCAAUCCGUCGCGGUGUGACUCGGCUGAUUUCUCGUCUUGACUCGGGAUAACUCGGAGUGACUCGGUGUGACUUGGCCUAGUCAAUCCGUCGCGGUGACGACUCGGUCGAUUUCUCGGCGAGUCAAGUAUUUCGGUAUCGUUUUGUCACGGUAUCGUAUCGGUAGGGGCCGAGACGGUGACGACUCGGCCGAGUCGUCUCGGUCUCGGCUGAGACUUCGAACCAUGGUUGAGCCUCAUCUUUCUUUGAUGGCACGUCAGAGAUUUAGCAAAAUUAGUUAAAUAUCUCCGCUUCUAAAGUCAGAUCACAAGAAUGUGUCAUGAUAAUGACAAUAAUUGAACCAAAAAAAAUUCCAUCCACUGCAAACACCUCAUUAAUGCAUUAUUCGAAGGAAAGGGAACUCUACUGAUUAAGCUCACGAGUCCUUUUGAUGGAGAAAUUGAAAUUGAUGUAAACCAUUAAUUUUUUCUUUCCAAGAUAUUCAUCAAAUUACCAUUUCUUGAUCCAGCUCAUCCUUGAGAUGUCUCUCUCUUUAGGAUGCUACUGCAGAUGAGUACCUAUUGGAUUUACAGUUGCUUCGUAAAUAGACUUGGGAUUAUUCUCUUUCAAAUUAGCCUUACCAAUGAGACUCCAUCUUGAUCAGCUUAUUGGACGAGGUGUAUGACUAAAGUUGUAUGGGACGAGGUAUAUACUGGUAAUGCAGCAAGGGUUGUCUUUAGCAGCAAAUCUUGAUCAGCCAAAGUAGCAAUGUUUUCUUGCACCCUCUGGUUCUGUGCACCUUCUCCUUAUAAAACAGUUAGCAUCACUCUACAUCUACCUAAAGUUGAGUCUCUUUCUGCUAAAAAUUCAAGUUUAGAGUUAAGACAUCUACUUUUAUGCACCAUUGAACUUGCUCUAAAGGGCUUUACUUGAUGUCUUGCUGGAAACUUAUUGUUCAACACAUUUAAAUCUGCAUUGCUGUCAAGACUUGUUUAAAUUCGUAAUUGUCCUUCAUAUUAUGAUGCAGUUCUCGUCCCUACUGGACAAGGCAUUUGUACUAGCAUAGCUGAUGAUUCUUGCAUUGAUCUUUUUCAACUUCAAAAUGCCAACAACUCAAUGAGGUAAUGAUCCAUGGAACAUUAUAUGCUGUUUCUCAAUCUUUUCAAGAUAUAAGCGUGAAUGCAUAAGUUUCUUAAUUGAACAGACUAAAGUACGCAAGUGAGGUUCUUCUUUUCUCAUUUGUCUUCUACAUCUGCCAUUUAUGUUCUAAUUCAUGUGGAACUCCCUAGGCAAAUAAGCAAGUGUAACAUCUAUACGAAUAUAUUUGAGAGCUUGAACAAGAGAUGCGAGGAACUGAUAUACCUGGCAUUAAAUGAAACUGCUAUACGAUACAUGAUGGAGAGAACUCAUACUGCCAAGGGCAAAACAGCUCAAUGGAGAACGGAGAUAGUUUGUCAAGGCUCUAAGCGUGUUACACAAUUUAUUAUCACAAAAUAGUUGUCAUCAGCGGAAAAUGUGUACAGAACAUGGAUAUGCUGGUACUUACAAACUCAAAUUAUUAAGAAAAAGCCAGAACAAUAAAGUCAUAGUAAUUUUGGCACCCAUGCCUGCUCUUGCAUUACUUAGCCAGUAACGAAUCAUCGAGCUGGGACCUUUAUCCAACCAUUAGCAAAAGCAAUGGCCAGGAUUACAAAGGGUGUCGACAUACCAAAUAUGAUAAUGUAAGGUAGAGGCGUCUUCAUGGGAUUCUCCCCUUCCCUUUCCCCUGCUGUCUGCCAAUACCUACACUUAGCAAAUACCUUAUGCCAAUUAAUCCCCUCAACAAAAAUACUGCUAUGAAAAGUUAAUGCUAUAUCCAAAUACUUUAUUUAUAUACAUUGUUGAAACUAACUAAUCAUAAUCCUAUUAGGUCGCCACAGCUGCCAAUGUGGACAAGGAAAGUGAGCCAGGAAAAGGCUAUCCCUUCAUGGAAGAUAAGUAAAUGAGUGGUUGAGAGUUUUGAGAGGCUUACUCUGUUGGUUCUUCUUCUUUAGUGAUGAAUUUCUUCUUCCCUCCCUGCUUGACUUCUCCCUCCUCUCCUCCUAAUCAGUAUCAAGGGGAAAAGGUCAUCAAGUUAAAAGUUAGCCUCAUUCCAAUUACCACAUAAAAACAGUCAUAAAUUAGUAAAACAUAAAAAAUCAAAAAAAAAUGUAUAAGCAACUCUUCACCCUUACCCAAUUUUGCAGAUAUUUGGACAGAAUUUUGCCUUCUCUUUGAUGAGCUGAAAGCAUUAGGUUGAGAAGAUGGAGACAGGAGCUUGUGGGAUGGUGCAAAUUUUGUGACUAGAGCAGAAGAAAUUGCCACCUUGGCUGCCAUUGCUGCAGCAAAAUACCAGCACUAGGAGUUAUUUUUCAAGUGGAUAUUAUAAGUAGACCAUCAAAAUCAAACGUAUAUCUGGAAUCUAUCUCGUUAGCUGUGGAUAUGAUUGCUGUUAUAUCUGAUAUCUUCUUCUAUUUUACAAUAUCUGGAGUCCAGACAGAAAAUUGCCUCAUCCAUACAUCAGUUUGUGUUGAGCACGUGGCGCACAUUCACAUUAUGGGCUCUUUGAAAAUCUGUUGUCCUCUGCUUGACUUUGAAGUUGGACCUAAUAAAGUGAUUGCUUCCAAUUUUGCCCUUUUGCUCAGCCAACCCAAGAGGAAACCAUAUUACCAUACUAUUAGCAAAUAUAUAAACAACUAAGCCCACUAUUUUUCUGUAUACUUACUAGCUUCUAUUUUUUAAGAUAUAAUUAGGACUGCAAUAAUAUCACAGUUCAAUAUAUUUAUCAACCAUUCAUUAACCUUACUACAAUUGAUUAAGUCGAAGUUUUCACACGACCUAAAAAAAAGGCGUGAAUCAACAAGGAAUUGUCAUUUUGAAAUACAUCAUUAUGGAGGUGAUGCAUCAGUCCUUAUCUAGUGAAGAUUUGCACUUUGAGGGAUGAGAUAUAAUGCUAAAAGAUUUAUUUAUUUAUUUAAAUUAGAAUUACUAACCUGUAUGCGAGUACCCAAGUGUUGAUGAUCAGAUUCGUCUCGUGGAUACUGUGGUAAAUAACUAUACUAACCAAAAUCCAAAAAAGGGGUGAGAAAACUAGUCUACAGGACUGUAUAUUGUUGGUGCUCAUACUGCAAAAGCAAACAAACUUGAGGAAUAGCAAGUGCUCAUACAAACUUGGGCAAGCUAAACUGCUGGCAAGUAGCUCGUGAGCAACUUGGUCAUACACUCGGUUCAAACUCAAUUUCAUAUAUAUAAUAAGUCGAGUUCGAGCAUUAGUAUUUAGCAUUGAAUGUUCGACAAGCCUAAUUGAGUAGUUAUAUUAUUUAUAUAAUAUAUAUUUUUUAAUUAUGAAUUAACUAUUAUAUGUUCAUGUCUUAGCAAAAAUCGAGCUCGAACUCGAAAAGGCUUAUAAUAUUCUCAAGCUCGAACUUAAUUACGAUAGCCUUGAUUCAAGUUCGACCUUAAUGUUACGUACUUGUCAGUAGCACUAGUAUCGACCGUGUUUAAACUCAAGUAUAGCGAUACUCAAACUUCACUAGAUUUGAUAGCAUCCCCAGUUCAUACUGCAAAAAACAUACAAAUUUGAGGAACAACAAGUACCAAAUCUCAGCAAGUGCUAAUACUACAAAAGCAUACAAAGUUGCCGAACAGCAAAUACCAAAAAAAUAAAUUAAUACACACUUGAGGAACAGCAAAUACCAAAAAAAAUGAAUUUAUACGCUAGAAGGAGGGCUUGAACCUCCGACCUUGUGGUUAACAGCCACACGCUCUAACCAACUGAGCUAUUCCAGCUUUGUUUUUGGCAGGUCAAAUUUAUAUUUAUUAAAUUAGUAGACAGGGCUGUAUGAAACUCCUAUUUCCAGCAAAAAAAAAAAAGAGGCUUCGGUUAGAUAAAGCCAUAAAGGCUCAAUUAUGUCAAGGUUCCUCAAAACAAGAAAGAAGUUAUGUAAAGUUUUAACAAUGAAAAAAAAAAAUUUCAAAGAAAUUCAAGUUAUUGCAUACAAAAAUUGCACUCACAUAUUGCAUCAGGAGUCAAACAUUAGGCAAAUGAAAUUACAGAGGGCGGCCCCAGAAAAUUCAUCUAAAAAGUGAAUACUCAACGUGGAAACAAGAAAACUGAAGAAAUAAAAAGAAACAACUCGUUUCUGCUAGCUAAUGAUUCUUUGAUCCAGUUUUUAAAAGGAGCCGACUGAAAAGUAGCUCUUGCCUCUGAAUAUGUUAAUUUCUGAUCGCUUUUUAACAAUAUUUGUUAGAUGGGUUGAACCCAUUGGGUUUCUUUAAAAGUUGAAGGCAAAUGAAAAUGAAACAUCUAAUCUUUUAUCUCAUUCCACUAGAAAUCUUUUCCCUUUUACUGGUCAUAAGCAAACAACCACUUGCAUUUAGUGAAGAGUGGGAAAUUGUGGUGAAUCUUAUCUCAUGUCUGUCUGAUGAAAGAUCAUUUUCACCAAUGUAAAUAAUUUUGGUCAAUCAAAAUUCAAUCUGUAGUCCUCAACCACUUCUGAAAGCGAUUGCUAAUAACCAAAUGAAUUGCAUACUAAUCAUUCUUAUGGUCUCACCUCAUCCGUGAAAUGAAUUAUUCUGAUGCUGUCUGCAAGAUUUCCACACAGAAUAGCACUAAGAUGGUUCAGUUUUAAACGUAGCAAAAGGAACUGCCUACCAAACCACUGUUUUCCAGGAUAGGACCAUAUCUUGCUUUUACACUUGUCCACAACUUUUGAUCAUCUUCAGAUCAGAAAGGAGUAAAAAUUAUUCAGCUGAUCUUUCAAAUUGUGAUGUUUCCAUUACCACUUUCACUGAUGAUAUUCAGCCGCAAGGAUGCGUCUCCCUCAACUUAAAUUGUGCCCCAAAAGAAACAGUUGGUUAGACUUCUUCUUAAUGAUGUUUGUUACCUUGCAAGUAUGUUUUUCUGAUAUGGAAAGCUCAAAGGGAAAUUGAUGGGUCCAGAUUAAUUGGAUAUAUAUCUCCUGAAGAUGGUCCUACCCGGGGAACAAAACUACAGAGACUCAAAAAGCCACGCGGCCCUCUAAAAUGCUGCACCAUUCCAAUCUUCUAAUGCUAUAGAAAAUAGUACCGUAAAAAAAAAAAAGUAGUAGCAGUAGUAGUAAUCAGUAGUAUUUCUCCGCUAUAUAUAAGGCACUGACUCCCCCACUACCAAAAGAACUGCCAAUACAAUAUAUUCAAUAAUCUUUCAUGGCUCAACACUUCAUUUCGGAUGUGCAAAACAUCAGACAAUCAUUCUCCUUAUCUGAUGUUGAUCCAAACAUGGAAAUGAUGAGUCAGUUUCCAGAGUUGAAUCCAGGAGCUUUAGAUUCCUCAAACUUUACGAACGUGCAGCCUUCAAUGGGAUUUUCUUUCCAUGAAAGUAAUAUCAGUCAACUCCUUGAUCAGUUCCCCGGAAAUUUAGCAGAAAACUUCCCUGGCAUUUUCCCUAGCGAUUUCAAGAACGUCCUCUCACUUCCUGAUCCCAUCUGUUCUUCUGCAUAUGAUCAUACCCUUCAUGAAGGUAAGAAAAGGAAAUUAACAGACACCCCGGAAAGUAGUUCAGCUAAUUCAUCUGCUCAAAUCUCCGAAAAUGGAAGCAGAACAAAAAAUGUAAGGCUCUUAGGUCUCUCAAUACUUCAAUGAAUCAUCGUAUUUCUUAACAUUCUAGAAUUCAAUCUUUUUCAUAGCCAUUUAUUUGAGGUAGAAUUGACAUGUUUAUAUUGCCUUCAGUGUUCACAGAUUACAGGAAAAGGAAAAAGGAUAAGAAGCAAUAGGAAGGAUGAAGAGAAACCAAAAGAAGUGGUACAUGUUAGAGCUAAAAGAGGCCAAGCUACCGAUAGUCACAGUUUAGCAGAAAGGGUAAGUUUUCGAAAUGUAAUUUUGACCAAAUUCCCCAUUUUGGAUAAGUCAGAGGUUCCUUUUCUUUUACCUUUUUCUGCCCUUUUCUUCAACAAUGUCAAUGUCUGCUAGAAGCUAGUGUCACUCGACUCAUCAUAGAGAAUAACAAUUUUGUAUUAUGAGUCCAACACAUUUGUCGAUUGAUCAGGUCAGAAGAGGAAAAAUCAAUGAGAGGCUUAGGUGCUUGCAAGACAUUGUUCCAGGCUGCCACAAGGUAUAUGUCUCUUUAAUUGUAUUAUAUUGCUCUAUUUCUGAUUUUAAUUCAAUUAAUAUGCUAAAAAAAAAGGUGCAGUAUUAAUUAAACCUACGGUGUACGUCAUUGAAUUGCAGACAAUGGGCAUGGCAGUGAUGUUGGAUGAGAUAAUUAAUUACGUGCAGUCCUUACAAAAUCAAGUUGAAGUGAGUUGAAACAAAUUAAUCAAGUAUUACACAAUUUUAGAAACAAAAAACAAAGCACUAACUAGUUUAAUUAAUUUGGUCGGUUUCAGUUUUUGUCCAUGAAGCUUACAGCAGCAAGCAACUUCUACGACUUCAACAGAGAAACAGACACCAUAGAUACACUCCAGGUGCUUUGACUAUUUGGAGAAAUUUGAACUAUCGCAUUGCAUAGCUCAUUAAUUUUGCUUAUUAAUUAAAGCUUGCAUGCUCCUUUUAUACUUGCAAGAAUAUAAAUAUCUCAAAUUCAAGUCCCAUAUCAAUGUUGUUGGUAAACCCAAAUAUGUAUUGAUUCGUGCCACAUUAUAUAUGAUUUAGUCCAAGUUAUAUAGUUAAAAGUACCAAAUUUCAGUGCAUUUCCUCGAGUGUCUAAUGAGAAUGUUUUUUGUUUAUCAGAGAGCAAAGGCAUUUGAAGCAAUGAAGAUGCAAAAGCUAAUGAAGGAGGACUUUGAUGGGGUUCCUUCCACUCAACUUGGACCUCUUGACCAGACUUUUGGAUGCUAUCCUUCACUGCCAUUCAACACAUGAAGAUGUUCCAUGUUCCCUAAUCAAAUUUGUCCCACUUGUUAUAGCAAAUCCAAGAAAGGAGAAGAGAAUUGCCCCCACUUGAUUCUAUUCAAUUUUACACAAGCUGAUAUGAAAAUUAUACUUGCAUGAUCAUGCCUCCUCACAAAUGUAGCAAAUUAACCAAUAAUUAAUGAAGUGUACAAUCUCAUUUUUCUUAUUCCUAUGUUGCUUGAUGACACUUGAUUGGAAUGAUUUAAACAUUGAAAUGAGUGGUUGGUUCCCGACAAGUUGAUAAUGUGUAUUACAAUCUUGCCUUCCAAUCCAAUGAGUGAUUAAACACCUAAUGGCUUUAAUCAGUGGUGGACUACAACAAGAAGUCAAGAAAUGCUUACAAUGUCUUCUCAACUCAAAUGCCGACUGCAUACCACCUAAACAUGUUUUUGACUUUAAACUCCAAUAAUUUCCCAUUAAGCAUGAAAUGGGCACAACUAUUGAGCAAUAGCGUUAAAUGUUUUGUCAUUUGGUUUUGGCCUUUAUCAAAGAUUAGUGGUGAUCCUUUGCUUUCUGAUUUUGAUAGCAAUGAUUAGACUGAUGUAAUUCCUUCUUUGUCUUCGUCAAGGAAUGCCAUCACUUGUUGGAUGGAAAUAUAAUAAUCGAGGGAUUGUUGGUAAUACAUGAUAAUAAUGACUUGUAUUUUGUCAGCAUCACAGGUUAUACAUCACUAAUUCUUUCAAAUGCCUGUCAAAAAUUAUAAAGAAAGAAGAGUAAAAUAAAAACUGCAGUCAUAGUUGUGGCUCUUUCGUUCUUCUUGAAGACGUGAGAAUCAUAGAUCAAUGUCACCCAAAAAAGAAAAAAAAAGAAGAAGAUUUUUUAAUUUCCCAUCGUUUGUGAUUCAGAAUUGUCAGUCUUGGCAUAAAUUAAAGAGGUGAAAAAGAGGCCUCUUCUAUAAUUCAUUUUCUUUUAAGGUUUACAAAGAGAAGCAGCCUUUAAAUUCAUGUCUUGAGGCAUCAUAUGAUAUUAUUUACCUACUUCACCCGUUCUUGACAGAUCUUAUAAGUGUUAUGAUGUGAUGUAUCUAAUUAACUCUUUUCCUAAAACGAACCUAGUAAACCAAGCAGAUACAAUUUGUUUAAUUAAGAGAAUUAGCAUAUCAUACACGAUUUGCUAGUUUUGUCAAAUUUUAUAGAACUUACUUACCAUUUAUUUUUUGUGUUUUUUUUACAAGUCUUAAAAUUUUAUUAUUCUGUGUUUCCUUCCAAAAUAAAUUGUAUUUUUUUCCUUUCAAUUUGCCAUCUUAUGGUCAAAAUAGUUCCAAUUUCAUAAUGGUCCUUCUUUAUUUAUUUUUUUUUUGGGUUAGCCGUUAGCGAAAAAUAUAAAGAGAAGGGAGCAAAUUAGCAAAAGGGGGUUGUCAAACUCACUCACAAUGGGAAGUUUAUAAGUAAUUAAUGUAUUGUAGGUACGUGUUUUCCAAUCUUUCACUCCACGAGUCCACUAUAGACUAAGUCGAUUUUUAAUUUGUGACCCAUGGUCAUGGAGAAAUGUCACCAAAUUCAAAUCAAAUCUAAGCUUUGGUGGGUCAUCAUCCUAAUCCAGUGACAGCUACCUCAUUCCAUAUUUGAGAAUUUUCUCUCUAAUUCUGGGAACCCGAUUCUCCAUGGAUUUGUCAAUUUUUCUCCAGUGCUGGCAGCCACCUAUUCUUUUCAACAUCUACCAGUCCAACUUGACCAUUAUCAGUUAUCACGAUCAAGAUCAGCUUUUAAUAGCUUGAAAACAAGAAAGACACUGAAAACGUGAUUUGUGAAUGCAAAUAAAAAAAUCGAAAUGAAGUUGUUUGUGAAAAAUCACUUGACCUUUUUGGUUAGAUUAGAUAAGAUGGAUGGGAUCAACGAUUGCUUUAGCCUUAAGGGUGCUUCUCAGCUUUCUGCUUGCCAAUAAGCAUUCUCCACUAAUGCAUGACGAUUGAUAAUACUAAUAAUCUAUGGAUUACCUAAAUAUAUUGGUCCAACUUACUUUUCGGUAGCAAAGAAUAGCAAUUUUAUUAAUUAGAUUGUUGAAAAUCGUCCAGCACAAUUCAUUUGACAAAUUUUGGAAAAAAAAAUUUCACAGGGGUCAACAAUGUCCUCUGAUUAACUGUUAAAACUUAAAAGCCAACCGCAAGAUGCAAUAGUUCAUCAACUCCAAAUGGUUGCAAAAGCUACUCAGCAAAUGAAACAUGUAAGCAAUUAGUUUUUUCUAUAGACAGAAAGAACACACACACCCAAUUAGAUUAGAAUGCUCAGAAAGUCAUCGCCAAAUUGAGUCAGAGACUAAUCUAAGGGGGACCCACAAACCAACACCUUCCAACCAAUUGGUGACAGGAGGUGCGGUUAAUGACCUUAAACCCAGAUUCAUUAAAGAACCCAUAAUCUUUCGAUGUGGGCCCUCCCGAGCACAUCCUCGUCAAAUAAAUGGUUUGUUUUUUCCAUGGACAGAAAGAACACACACACCCAAUUAGUUAAGACGAACUAAACUAGCUUUCGUAUACUUGGACAGAAAAUUAACUUACCAAACGAAAAGUAUGUGGUUAUUAAGCAAUUAGUUAAGACGAACUAAACUAGCUUUCGUAUACUUUGACAGAAUAUUAACUUGCCAAACGAAAAGUCUGUAGUUAUUAAGUACACACGUGGUGCAAUGAGUGCCGGUAAUACAUAGCCUCUUGGGAAAAUUUGAAAAAAGAAAACAAGGCGAUAAAAAAUUCAUAAGUAGGAUAUAACUAUUAAAAAUUUUUAAAAUGCAUAAUUCAGUAUGCAUACGUGCACAUAUAUGGUUUUGAAUAUGCAUAUUCAUAUAUAUAUAUAUACAUAUAUAUAUAUAUAUAUAUAUUUAUAUAUGCGCGCGCACGUAUGUUCAUCAAAAUGCAUAUUUUUAUUUAUUAAGCUGAGUAACUGUAUAGCAGUGUUAUUGAACAAGGUACGCAUUAUUAUGAGGCUGAUCCAGUCAUUUAAUGGUAAAUUUAUUACCUAUUUAAAUGUGCGAAUAAUAGCCCAUUCCCAUUCACACAUAGUAUCUAUCAAAAGACAAGUUACGCUCUUCUUAUGACUAUUUCAUUUUCCUAUUCCCAAUUUUCAAAAAUUUCCCGUUGUGUUUCAAUUACAGUUCAAGACGCGUCACUCUGAAUCUCUCAUACGAAUUACUGAGUCUAUUAUGCCUGAUAUGAUAUAAUCAUCAGUCAUCACUCGGUUUUCUUGGUUAGUACGUCUUUGAUUCUUUACAGAAUUAUUCGCCGCAAAUGAAGUAUAUAUUCAAACGAAUAUUAGACUAAGAUUGAUUGAUAGUACUUCAUGUUGUCACAUUAACGCUCCACAGCUUCAAAUUUCAAGCAUCAUUAUUAUUAAGUUGGUAUGUUCUUCACCAGCAACAGCAAGCUUAUCUGUUAUUGGUGUUUUAAGAUGACAUCUCACUGGAAGUCAAAACAUAACUAUCAAGCAGUAAAGAAAUUGUGUGUGUUUUUUUUUUUUUCAAAACAAAAAAGUCAAUGGUUGGAAAGGAUCCGCUCAGUGUGUUAUUUGAACACUUCAAACGAGAUUCGGGUUGAACUGGAUCGAUUUUCUAAUUUAUCUAAUUUUGACAUGGUUCAGCACUACUUUUCCACGCUCCACAUUCAAGUGGAGAGGUGAAAAAAGAACGGCAAGGUUAGGAGAGACAACGAAAAAGAGCACCGGGGAGUUGAAACUUUUAAGUAAAAUUAUACAAACAUUAAUACAUAAUGGCACUCAGUUAAGAGGCCAACGGUCUUCCAUAUUUGAUUGAGCGCAUUUUCUUUCGUGGGAUUAAUUACUUGAGGUAUGACAGGUUUUUUAGUUCAUUUUAUUCCUUUACUUCAAUUUUGGAUAUUUUAAUUAUUCUCUAAAGUAUGAAAUCCGUCCUGUUUUAAUUCUUGAACUUUGAGCAUCGUUUACUUAUCAUUCUGUUAGUCUUGACAAUUUUAUGAGAUUGGUUUCAUACUUUGAGGAAUAAAAUAUUCAAGUGAAGUUUACGAACUAAACUGUGAUAGAUUCCAUAUGUAACCUACAAGUACAAAGACCAAAGUGAGAGACUGCAUCUUUAUUAUUAGUUUAAGCAGCCAAAGUAGAAUUUGCCCAAAUUUCUGACCUAAGUUGUUGACAUAGUGUGUUUUGAUCUGCACGCUUUGAUCACAUAAAACAAGUUUUAGCCCAAAAGAUAGACCGUCAAUAAUUGCAAUUCGAAAAAUUUAAACCCGUAAAGACAAAUAAUUUAUGUUAGUACACCAUGAAGGAGUGGUUUGCAGAAGUGCUUGUGUUGGACCAUUGGUUGGAUAAUUCAAUUCCAGGGCUUAACAUGUUAUUUCAUGGCCAUUUGGCUAGGUGAAUUGUUAUAUAUAAGAUAAGAUGAACUAUAUAUAUAUGAUAUAUAUAUGAGCCAUUGAACACGAUCCUCACUUAACCCAUGUUUAAAAAUUCAAUUCAUUACUUAAAUUUAAUGAAUUCAGACCUUAACAUAUUCAUACGCGUUUAAUAACAAAAAAUUGAACAUCAUUAAGUGACGCUGAAUUUUCUAGAUAAAAUUUGCUCCUAAAAUUAAGUGAUAAAUUAUUUACUUAUCACUAAAUAUAAUAUAAACUUAAAUAUAUUAGAUUUAAUACUUAAUAAUUUAAUAAUUUAAUGAAUUCAGACUUCAAGAUUUCAGAUUUCAGACUUCAAUUUUAUCAAAGGCACCUUGACUUUGGAGGCAGACACAAUUCAAACAUACCUAUUGCUUUUGUUUCUAGCAGAAAAUAGAAUGUAUAUUAUUCCAACCGAAUCCUCUAAACUUCACAUGCAUCAUGUAAUGAUGAUUUAUUUGCAUCAAAGUUUGGGAUUAACGUGAUGUCACAAUUAAUCAUUAGUUAGACCACGAUGUUGACUAUCCCCAUUAACGAAAUUCGUGAGGUAACAUGUGCAAUGUUCGCCGCGCCACAGGCCAAACCAAGGAAAAAAAAAAAAAAACACUCACAUACUUAAUUCCAAUCUUUUCAAACUCGAACGUGUUCACAAACCGAAUUCUUAAAGAUAUGUAACUUCGGACUUUUUCUUCGUUCUUCUUAUUAUCACACCAAAUUUCUCCGUCGUGGUUAUCGUUCUGGAAAGCCUUUCAUUUUUCAAAGAAUGCGGAGUCUGCGGGAAAAAAAAAAGUCUCUUAUGUAGUGGAGGUGGUGAUGAUGAUUACGGGAAAUCAGAACCUUGUUUCCUAGGAUUGGUCCCAGGAACCUAAAUAAUGAAGUUGGGAAGCAUUAUCUUACGUACUAACGUAUAAUUGAGACUUUAACAACAGCUAUAAGUUAACAACGUAUCCGUCCAGUGAUUGCUGAGAGCUCUUAGAAUUCUCUCUAUUGUCAGUUUUAGAAUUCGAAUUUUAGUUUUUAAGUUUACAUUGGAAAUCUAUGUUUAAUAGUUGAGGUUAGGGAAUCACUGAAAUUGGUCUAGUAAUUCGGAAGAACUCUUCAGGAUUUGAAUUCUAGUUUUUAGGUUCAGAAUUCGAAACCUAAACUUAAUAGUUGAGAUUAGGAAGGGUGAGAGGUAAACAAACAGAAAAAAAAAAACGUAUCACUUGUCGUGGGCCUGUUAGGACCCAAAGAUUGUGAUCAAACAUUGCUACUUGACAGUAUACCAAAAUUUGAUUGUUGGCUAAAAGACAACGAGUAAAAAUUUUCUAAAAUAAAACCGAGAGACAAUUCAGAUAAUUUAUUUAGAUGAGUUGGAGUAGUUCAAUAUCAACAGGUUUUAAUUGUUGAAUUUUGCUAAAUGAGACGUUCUCUUUAUAUUUAAAAAAAAAAAAAAAAAAAAGCUGGUUAUAACUGGGCAGGAAUUGAAACUGGCACAUGUUUGCAGAAAAAAAUAUGCUUUAUUGAUUCUUACCAAGUCAAUUGAGAUUGUUACACUAAAAUGUGCUUUACUUCCCAAAAUCCCGCAAACUAGUAAUUUCCCUGCUCGUGGAUGAAAAUCUUUGAUUGAAACUUGGUAAAUAUGAAUAGUAGCCUGGAGAGGGAUAAAACUUAAAUAAGACAAAUAAAGCAGCCUAUCUCUCCCUCUCUCUAUCCAAAAUUAGCUCAAUUUGCCUACAUAUCAUUGUUCAUAAUUCUUUUUCUUUUUUUUUUUUGAUUAAAUCUUAUAUACACUGACAAUGUAUACACUAUUAUCAUUGGAUUUAUGACACGUGUGCCAAAGUUAAAUUUUAAAUUUAAAUUUUAUAUAGUUAUCGUUCAUCCAAUGCUGACGGUGUAUACACUGUCAGUGUAAGAAAAAUUAACCUUUUUUUUUAUACUUCCAAUCUUGAAUAUAACAAUUAUUUAGAAAAAAAAAAGCUUACAUUGAAAGAACAGGUCUACAAUUCCUAUACAAAUUAUUUCUCCCAAUCUUAUUUUAUACACAUAAUGCAAAACAGACAACCCACAUGUGUUACGGGAUUUUUGGACUGUGUGCUUAAUGUCCAAAGCUCGAAAGGAAUCUCCAAAUGAUCACUGAAGUCUUUCUGUCUAAAUCUGUAUUCUACAUUUAAUCGUCCUCAUCUUGUAUGUUGCGUAAAGAAAAAUAUCACUCUGC
This 88296-nucleotide long non-coding RNA is filed under the name Coffea arabica (coffee). RNAcentral's name for it is "long non-coding RNA (CARA_LNC003092)". The record is from RNAcentral. Lineage: Eukaryota; Viridiplantae; Streptophyta; Magnoliopsida; Gentianales; Rubiaceae.